AAACACAAAGUUCAUGGCAUGUACAAGAAAAAAAGAUAAGAGAUGACUCACUUAGAUAGCUCACAUAGACAACUCACAUAAAUGUCUCACAUAACUUAUGAUUUGUACAAUAUAUAGGAACCAUAGACGACUCAUCAAUAAACACAAGAAGUCAACUGGCCUCCCACGACCUAAGUUAAUUAGGAUGUCUAAUAUGAGAUAUGGUUAACAAUAUGUCAUUAUGUCACGUCUAUUAGACAAUGGGGUGGUCAAGAAUCACAAGAAAUGACCCAAUAGUCUCAACUCAAUCAUAAAUAUCCAAAAAUAUAUCCACACAUCUGACGAAUCCUCAGCCACAAAGUAUCCAAAGAGCGGUCGUCAAAGGUCUCAUGAAGCCUAGACCUCUAUCAUGUAACUCAUGGCAUGCUCAAUAUAAGGAAAAAAAGGAAAUAACUUAUGUUCAUGCUUCAAGUACGAUAUACAUUGUCAAAAUGAACAUACUCAUACUUCAUGUUCAAAUUCAUGCCUUCUAUUCAAACUCAUGUUCAUAUUUGAGUAUUAUGUCUCAUCUUCAUGCAUAGAAUGUCUAGAUAUGAUGAUCAAUACUGUAGAAUUUAUGUACGGAUGCUCAAAUACUAUAUACGAUACCAAUAGAUAUAGAAGAAAAUUUGCCGUUUUCGGCGACUCGGAACCCACCUCAAUGUGCUAUGUCAGCUACAGUAAGAAAUCCGCCACUCACGUGCUUUUCCCCAGCUCACGAUCACACGAAAACACUACAUAAGGCAAAACUUUUGGAAUUACGACGUAUAUCGAAUUUUCUAACUGCACCUAAAUCGCCUCAAUUGAACACCAAUUACCUUAAAAUUCGAGUAGCUGGACGCGCGCCGCAAACUCUUUUACACCUCUCUACACCCUGCGACGAUCAAUUGCGAAGUUAGAGGUGCGAAUUGGGCCAAUUCACACUUUGUUUCAUCCUUUCUUUUUCUUCCCCCAUUCUUUCUUUCUCUUUCUUUCUCUCUCUUUCUUGCUUUAAUUCUUUCCUUCUCUUUCCUUUUCUUCUUCUUCUUUUUUUUUUUUUUUUUUUUUGAGGAAACAGGGAUAUACCCUAUUUGAAUAGAAAGGUGGAAGGGGUUACAAAGAGUCGAAUACAACGCUCGCUAAAGGCCCAACAGCAAAAGGGUUGGUCGAAACAGUGACCAUACCACAAAGAAACAGAAAUUACAUCCAGACUAUACCAAAGAGAAUAAAAGAAAUUUCCUCUUGACCUGGAGUAAAAAAACUCAUUCUUCCUUCAUCCAUUUAGCCCUGAUGUCCAUAGCGUAACCAAGCUCUGAACUCUACAAGCAGUAUUCUCCGUUUGAGUUGGUCAUUCGUCGAAUAUGCGUCUAUUUCGUUCUUUCCAAAUUUCCCAACAUACCGCAGCAAAAUAGAGAUCAAACCGUUUCUUUUUUUUUUUUUCUUUUUCUCCUUCUUCUUCUCUUUUUUUCUUUUCUUUCUUUCCCUGCUCUUUUUUUUUUUGUUUUUCUUUUUCCUCAGGCAUCAUUAAGUUUGAUCAUUAAGAUCUAUUGGGUCGAAGUAACUAAAAACUAAUGAUAAUAUUACUGACUCGUCAGAACUAUUUCGAUAUCUCAUUUUUAGUUUCUACCCAUGAUGAAAUUUUUGUAAAUCCAUAUACAUACGGUUCUAGUUAUUACAUUUCUUUCUUUCCAACCAUUCUUUCAUUCAAUCCCGUUCUUUACUCUUCUAUAUCCUUGAGUUGCUGCUGCUGCCGCAGCCUGCAGCAGUAUUGGCAGCAGCAGCAAGGGAGGAAAGGGAGAGAGAAAAAGAGGGAAAGAGAAAGAAAGGAAAGGAGAAGAAAGAAAAGAAUCUUCUUCUUCUUUUACUUCUCUUUCUCUUCUUCUCUUUUGUUUCUUUCUUGCAAAGAAAAUCUGAGAGAAAGAGAGAAGAUAAGGUUGAGCCCUCUUAGUGGAAUUCCACUAAGUUGGCUAUUUUGAAACUUAGUCCAUCACUUUUCAUAAUGACAAUUUGGUCCCUCCUAGUGAAAAAUUGGUUCAAUUCAUUCGUUUUUACGUCAAUUUCGCGCCAAAACGGUUUCACUUCAUUUAAACUUCACGCUCACAUGCUAACUUGCAACCUACACUGCGUCCAAAUAAUAAAAAUUGACAUUCUACAAUUAGGUACCAUUUGUAAAAAUUGACAUUCUACAAUUAGGUACCAUUUGGUUCGGGUAUAAGUAAGAACUAGCUAUUACAGGGAUAGAUAUAAGUAUGGGGAUAAGAAAAAUAGUGUUUGGAUAAAAAUUGGAUUGUUUCCGGGGGUAAGAACAAUUUUAGGUAGUUUUAUAUAGAAAAUAAAGAGGUGUUGGUAGGGAUAACCGAGAACUACUAUUCUCAGAUAAAAAAUUAGCGUUUGGAUAUAGAGGGGGGAUAAGGGCCUAUUCCUAUCCCUAUCCCCUAAUCAAACGCUGCUUUAGAGUUACUGCCGGGAAAGAAUUAAAUUUACAGGAGAAUAGAAUGUUGGAAAGAGAUAAAAGUUAAUUACUUUAGUCCUAUCUCCUGGUUAAUAAAGAUAAAUUUAAUUAUUUUGAAUUUUAUUAUUGGUUGAAUUUUCUUCUUAUUUUUUCUAAACAUUUGUAAUAUUAAUAUUAAUUAAAUUUGUAAGAAAGGUUCUUAAUAAGCCUAAAUUGACUUGUUGUUCGUGUCGAGUCAAGUCAAUGCACUGCAAUAUGACCGUACAAUCAAUCAUUCUUUCUUGGCAUAAUUAAUUAUUAUUCAUUUCUUACUCUCUUUUUUUAUAUUUUUAUUUUUUUUCUAUUCCUACGUUCCGAAUUAGUUGCAGCGCGCGCGAGAAUGCCGGUGCUAGAGCCGAUCAUAUUGGCAGCAGUGGGAUGGGUGGCGUCUCCCGUCGUGGCGAAGCUGCUCAACAAAGCCUUCGCCAGCUCAGGCCUCAAUGCGGAGAAAAAGCUGCGGAAGCUGAGGGUCACCGUCCUCCAGGUGCUGAAAUCGGUGAUCGAGAAAGCGGAAGGCGGCGAGUACCGCAGCGAGGUGGAGGACUGGCUGCAGAGGCUCAAAGACGCUUACGACGGCGUGCAGGACGCGCUGGACCUCCUCAACAACCGGCGCCUCAAACGCGCGGCGGCGGCGGCGGCGGCGGCGAGCAGUAGUGAAAGGCAAACUAAUCCGGUACGUGCUCCUAUCCACGUGCCAAAACACCUGAAAUGGGCUAUACCAGUCUUAAAAGGUGGUCGGGAUAUGCUGUCACCUUACAAGAUCAAGCUGAAGAUCAGGCUGAACAAGCUUGAAAAGAUCGCCAACGAAGCCGAGACACUCUGCAAAUUGCUAGACACCAAGUCUGAUCAGGCAGUAGCGCCCUACGGGCAGACCAUCUCGCAGCCUCAGCGGAAAGUGUUCGGCCGUGACGACGGUUGUGGAAAAAAAAUCACUCGGCCCCUGAAAACGGAACCUGCAGCAGCAAUUCGCGACCCUGGAUCAUCAUCAGGCAUACCUAUAAUCGCCAUAGUCGGUCGCGCGAGGGUCGGGAAGGCUACUCUUGCACAGGACAUUUGCGAGCAGCUGAGGAGCGAAUUAGCAGGUGACUGCGGACAUUUCUUCGAUCUCAUCAUGUGGGUCGACGCAUCUCGCAGUUUCGACGCAUCCGAAACUAUGAAAAAAAUAAUACAACAACAACAACAGCAGCAAGCUUCUACUGUGAGCGAGCCUCAAGAUCCGGUUAAUCUCGACGAUCUACCCGUAACGAUCGAUACCCGUCUUCGUAAUCUCGACACUACGGUCGUGGGCGACCUUAACUCGCCUGAGGCGCUGCGACUGAAAAUGAACGAAAAGCUGAAGGCGGAGAAGUUCCUGCUAGUGAUCGAUGAUGUCUGGUGCGACAGGGAAGACCGCGGGAAGAAUUGGGCUGCGCUAUUCAGAUGUUUAGGCAAAUGUUGUUGUGGUUUGCCAGGGUCUCAAGCGAACGACACCCACCGCCUCGAGGGCGACGUCGCGAGGCUCACGGCGGUGGCGGAGGUGAGGGAGGGGGAGAUCGUCGCGCUGGAGCGGAGGGUGGGGGCUGUCAAAGAGGCCGAGGAGGAGGCGGCGAGAGCGAGCGCGCGGCGCGAGGAUGAUCUGAGGAAACAGAACUCGCUUCUGGUGGACACGAUCCGGGAGAAGGACGACGCCCUGAUGAAGCUCCGCGAGAGGAACUCCUCGCUAGAAGAGGAGAUCAUCAAGCUUACGGAUGCCCUCGUGGUGCUCGAAGGCGAGAAGAAGAACACUGCCGCAGUGCUCGGUGCCGUAGCGCUCGGGGCGGUGGCGGCGGCCGCUGCGGCUGUGACUGCGGUUUACCUUCACCGUAGUAGAAGGUAGAGGUAAUGAGCAUGAGCACUCUCUCAUUAGCGUUUUCGGUUGAUGCUAUUAUCCCCUGUUGUUUCAGCAUGUUCUUAAUCGUCAUAGGUUUACUACUUUUUUCGCCGCAGAAGUAACAUAUCUGAUGAGGGUUUUACUCAUCUGCUGCCAUUACUGCUUUGUCGGGCAAAACUGUUGUUGCCAAGUGUUUCAAACGCUGUCUUGGCAAGUUUCUGAUAAGAUCAAUCAAUUGUAGCCUAACUUUUUAACUGGAAAUGAAAUGAAAUGUUGUUGUGUCAGAUUUUCGUUAGGGCAUGAAGAUUUGUCUCUUGGUGAACUCUAUUUUCUUAUGUAGUGUGAUUUGUGAGGAUUUGGAUUUUUUACAGAAGUGGAAAAGUAAUCUUGACUGUGUUUGCUUUGUUGUUCUGUCUAUAUUGUGAAUUCUUCUUGAUGUUCUACUUUCUUUGUGCUGCCUACUUAAUCGCUUGGCCGUUCGUAAUUUGAAGUACUAUGGGAAUCUCGAAGAGUUUGUGCAUCCCUUUGAAUGCUUUUCUUGGGAAUUUUCUGAUAAGAUUUGUAGCCCAACUUUUUGACUGGAAUGCUGUUGCCUCAGAUUUGUAUUAGGGUAUGAAGAUUUGUCACAAUCGGUGAAUGCUAUAGUUCUUACAUAGUGCUAUUUGUGAUGAUUUGGGUUGCAAAACAGGGAAAGUAACCUUGAUCGUGUUUAUUUUGUUGGCCUGUAUUGUGAUGUGCUGCCUACUAAGUUACUUGGUUGUUUCUGAUGAAGUUGAAGUAUUAUAGUAAUCGCGAACAAUUUAGUGUCCCUCUGAAUGCUUCUGGGAAGGUUUUUGAUAAAAUGUGGCCUGACUUAUUUGAUUGAAAUCUUCUUAACUCAAAUUUUGUUACAGCUUGAAAUCUGCCAUUUGGUGGAUGAUUUCUUACAUAGUGCUUUGUGAGAAUUUGGUUUGUGAAAGAUUGAAGAGCGACUAUGUUCUUGAUCUUGUUUAGUUGUUGUUCUGUGUUGCCGGUUCUCCGUACCCCAUUUUAACUGUGUUGCCUACUGGCCGGCACACUUGGUUGUCCCUUAUGAUUUUAGAAUUAUCAGGUAGUCUUGAAGCUCUUGUCAAAUUUGGUUUGAGAGUUUGUUUUAGAAAUUUGCUGCUAUCUGGGAUUCUUUGCUGAAUUGAAGUUUGGAAGCUCCCGGCACUGAAACACUUAUUAGCAUGUGAGUAUUUCUGGGCAAUGGCUCUUCACACCAUCAUCUAUUGAUUAGUUUCCCUUCUCUUCGGAGUGCUAGAAACACUCUAGUUGUUGUCAGUUCGUGCGGAAACAGUUUAGAAGUUUCAUUGAAGUUAAUUAAGUAUUCGGUUAUACUGUCAAUUUUCCUCUGCUCAGUGCUCACCCACUUAUAUUAUGAAAUGGGUAUCUGACUCUUCAAUCUUGGGGAUGCUCGAGUCUCGAGAUUACGUUCCACUUCCACUUAUUAGUACUUUAACAAUUAUAUAUUUCUACCACCGACCACCGUCUCUAGAGCAAGUGGUAAAUGAUUUUGUGGUUGAUAUCUGAGAUCCUAAGUUCGAAUCUUAAUUGAUUCACAUUUUCAACUAAGUUUAUUUUUAAAAUAAAAUAAACGAAGCGGGUAGCGUGCUAUCUAUCUCUCUCAAAAAAAUGAAGCGGGUAGCGUGCUAUCUAUCUCUCUCUGAAAAAAAAAAAAAACAAUUGUAUAUUCUUAUAUAUAACAUACUUCAAUAAUAAUAGACAAAAGACUCCAAAAAUAAUACAAAUAAUACAAAAAGACUUCAAAUAAAGACUUCAAAAAUAAUACAAAUAAAUAAUUAAAGACAAUAUAUUUAAAACAUUAUCUAUUUAAUAUGUUUAGAACAUUAUAUAAUAUUUUAUUUUAUAUUAUAUGAUAUAUUGUAGGAGAAGAUAUAAAACAAAUUUUUAAAAAUAAUAAAGAUAAUAUAAUAUAAUAUAAUAGUAGCCAGUAGUUAUUGCAGUACUAAUCAUUAUCAUAGUAAUAAUAAUAAGAUAUUUUAAUCUUAUUAUAAAAUAUUAUUAUUAUUAUUAUUAUUUUUACCUAAUCUAAAAAUGUAUAUAUAUAUAUAAUAUAAUAUUAUUAUAUAUAUGAUUAAUAUAUAUAAUAAUACUAUAUUAGACUAUACUAUAUACUAUAACAGAUCAUCAGUCGGUCUCCUAAAUAACUAUCAAUGUACUGGGCUACUCCGAUACUAUACCCGCUCUGUUCUUCGAUGAUUAGGUGUUCAAAUCAACGUUCACACCGUUAAAUGAUCAGAAUUAUUUAUAAGUUUUUAGAUAUAAAAAAUUUUAUAUUUUCUCGACACUAUUAUUUGAUGAUUAAACCUAUUUCAAAAUUGUCAAUCUUAAUGCCUAACUACAAGCGAGUUUGGAGUUUAACAGUGUAGAAGAAUACUAAAUUUCUUCAAAUUUGAUAAGAAAUUAGUUAAACCUAUCUAGAUUAAGGUUACAUUCUUGAUCUGACAUUUAAAAAAGUCCUAUAUCGGUCAAAUUUAACAAUUAUUCCAUUUCCACCGUGCUAGUUUGACAUAUUAUUUACUACAAAAACUAAAAAUUUAUUCCUAAACAAUUAUAAUACCCUAAUAUUAUAUUUACAACGGUGUGGGAUUAUUAAUUUGAACCCCUAGCCAGAAUCGUAAACAAGACUAUAGUAUCGAGCUCCGUAUAUAAUAAGUAUAGUAGAGCCUAAUUAUAUAGUAAUUAGUAUACUACAUAAUAGAUAAAUACAUAUAUAUAUUAUGGACUAUAUAUAAUAUAUAUAUAUAUAACAUUUUUAUAUUAAUUUUAUUACAAUAAUUUAUAAAAGUAUUCUAUUUUCUUUAAAAAUUGGUUGCAACAAUGUUAUAUUUUUUAUGUUAAUUUGUUUCUAUAAUAGUUUGCCUUUUUAUUAUUGAAUUAAUUAACUAUUUCACAACCCCCACAAAAUUUUAAUCAGCAUCUAAUGUCAAAAUUGUUUUUUAAAAUAGUUACACUAUUCUACUAACAUACUACAUAAUAGCGUUGUUUCACCACUCUCUCUCUCUUCCUUUUGUCUCUCCGAUCUCUCUCUAUUCUUUAUAUCAUAUAUAUAGAUGAAAUAAGAGAGAGUUCGGCUAUAUACUAUUGAUAUACUAACCCUUGAUACUAACUUGUAGUUUUCCUACGUUAGACUCUACCUUUGAUCAUUUACGCACCUUAGAUAUACCUAUUAAAAUCAAACCAUCCCACCCACUCAACGCCUCAGGGGACCACUAUCAUCGCUAACAAGCACAUUUCCUUUCUCACACGGUUGAGAAACUCGAUAGUACCAAGGUUUGUACCAUCGAUCAUGCCAUAGUAGCAUAAUUCUAUAAUAUAAUUAUAUAUAUGAGUAUAUAUAAAUAUAUAUAUAUAUAUCAUAUAGAGAGAUAUAAAAUGUAUAUAAAGAGGAGAGAGAGAGAGAGAGAGAUGAGAUGAAGAUAGAGAGAGAGAGUCGGCUGCUAUGCAUCGAUAGCGAACCGACUGAGGGUGGGAGAACACUUUUGGGCAUCAUGUUUCUGUCGUUAGAUUAACCGCUUUGAUUAUUUUUACCCUUAAACUAUGCUAUUCAAACCAUAUCACCUACUCAACCUUAGGGGCCACAUCAUCCUAACCGCACAUUUUUCAAUCUAAGGACCGAAAACACUAAUAGCACCUAAAUUUUUGUGCUUUGAUAGUAAUUCCAGCCAGUUCUAUCUAUACUAUAGUAAUAUAGAAACGAUGCGGAAUUAGUAUCAUAGCACCAAGCAAUUAGGCAAAGUAAGGUUCUUGUUUGCUACUGAGGAGCAGGGAGGCCUCCGUGCUUCUAAGCCGUUUUCGAUGAUGGAGCUUCUGAAUCGAUUAUCAGCUCCGAUAACUUGAUCUAGUCUAUUUAAAGUAACUAGAAAAUAAAUUUUACGAUUUUUCGAUAUCAUUUACUUAGUGAUCGAAAGGGUUCAAAAUUAAUGGCUGAAAAUAAAAAUUUCACGAAAAAUGGUGAUAUAACAUUAAAAUUUUUGAUCAGAGAUAUUGAUCUUGCAGUAAAUAGAAUAAAUUCUAUCAAAAUUUCACUGAUUUAAAUACUUCUACACCGUUAAACUUGCAAACGAUAAAUAUCAACUUUUAAAAAUUAUUGAUUUUGAACCCUUUCGAUCGAUAGGUAAAUGUGAUCCGGGCUGUUUCCCUCUCGACGAUGAAGCUUAUCCCCCAUUGUCUCACUGGCUGACCUUGACCCCGAGGGAUCUUGAACUAAGAAAUAGACCUAGAAGCUAAAAGAGGGUAUCCUGAGCAAUUGCAAGAAUUGGGUUCAUUGAUAUUCCUGGUAUAGUAUAAGGGAAAAAUGAAAAAGGCAGAUCAAGAAAUCCUCCUUUUUCUUCGGUUCGGACUCUCCCAAAUAAAAAAUCCGCCCUAAUAACUAACCAAUUUGUGGGUUAUGGAAUAGAUCAAAGUCUCGUUAUAAGACUAAGAACUCCGCGGGCCCUUUCCGCUCUAAUCGGAAAAUCACAAAAUUUAUUUUCUAAAUACUUCAAAUACGCUAGAUCAAGUCUAACGGAGUCGAUCGUCGAUUUGAAAGCUCCAUUGUCGAAAAUGGCUUAGCAGCACAGAGGCCUAUGUGCUCCUAAUAGCAUACAAGACCUACUAUAUAUAUAUAUAUAUAGAAGAGAGAGAGAGAGAGAGAGAGAGAGAGAGAGAGAGAGAGAGAGAGAAAACAUAUAUAAGAGAGAGGUGGGAUGGGGUGCUUGAGAAAAAAUAUUUAAUUUAUUGCGGCACCUAAUCGUUUUGCACGUUUAACUAGCUCAAAUCUUAAAGCAACAUGAACAACGGUGAAGAAUGUCGCUUUUACCAUACAAAUAACUCGUACAAUGGGGCAACAUAUAAUGUUUGCUUGUGCUCAAUUCGAAUCUCGCCAAAGGUAAGAGUGGGAUGAUCUUUCACCUUUUCUUAAAACCGUUCAUUUUUUGCUGUGCCAAUAGUGUGAGCAGGAAUUUUCUAUUCACCUAAUAACAAAGAAGCUACUGUCAUAGUUCAGUAAGCAAAUAGUUCUUGUAGAAGCCCAUAUGCUAUUUCUUUCUAGCGUUUGUUGUUACCUGUGCACGUGUACGGACAAAGAAAGGAGAGUACUCGCCCAAAAAAGCAGUAAACCAAGAUUCCAAACCAAGUAAAUGAUGAUGCAGUUUAUCUCCCCGUAUAUUUAAAAGAUUGCGAGGUAAACUAUUUGUGAUUUUCUUUUUGUUUUGGUUUUAUUUGAACGUGUACGGCCAAGUAAUUUUGAUUGCNNNNNNNNNNNNNNNNNNNNNNNNNNNNNNNNNNNNNNNNNNNNNNNNNNNNNNNNNNNNNNNNNNNNNNNNNNNNNAGAGAGAGAGAGAGAGAGAGAGAGAGAGAGAGAGAGAGAGAGGGAGAGAGAGAGAGAGUUGAGCUAGAAUGCUUGAUAGCAAACGGACUCCGUUGCCACCCAUUUGUUUCGAUGAUGGAGCCUCUGAAUUGACGAUCGACACCAUUUAACCUGAUCUAUACCACUUGAAGUAUUUAGAAAUCAAAUUUCAUAUAUUUUCGAUAUUGUUCUCCUAUCCAUCGAGUGGACACAAAAAUAAACGGCUGAAAAUAAAUAUUCUUUAAAAAAUGAUGAUAGGAGUCUUAUAAUCAAGAUCAAGAGUGUAUAUCUUAUUUUAGAUAGUUUAAAGAAUUUUCUAACAAAAAUUCAAUUGAUUUGGAUAUCUUUACGCCGUUAAACGAGAAAAUGCCUCGUAUCGACCUUUAAAAUUAUAAAUUUUGAAACCCUUUGAUCAUUAGGCAAAUGAUGACGAAAAGAUUUGAAAUUUGAUUUGUAAACACUUCAAGUGGUAUAUAUCAUGUUUAAUAGUGCCGAUCGUCGAUUUGGAGGCUCUAUCAUUGAAAACAAAUGGGUGGCAACGGAGCCCGUUUGCUAUCGAUAGUAUUCUAGCUCAACUCUCUAUAUAUAUACAUAUAUACAUAUACAUCUACAUAUAUAUAGAGAGAGAGAGAGAGAAAGAGAGUUGAGCUAGAAUACUUUGGAUUAUUUUGCUAUCGAUUUUUUAGCCAUUAAAUUUACACUUUAAUUAAUUCCAUCCUUUAGAUCAUACAAUUCAACCAACCACCCACUCAACCCCUAGGGAGACCAUUACUAAACCCUAGAGGACCACUAUCAUCCUAACUCUGCAAUUUUUCAUCAAGGUUUAAAAACUCGAUAUCAAAAGAGCCUAAAUACUAUAAAUGGUAUUCCAGCCCAUAUAUAUAUAUAUAUAUAUAUAUANUAUACUAUUAAUAUAAUUGUUCGACAUCACUUACAUAUCAAACGAGUAUUCUAAAAAUGAACUACUGAAAAUAAAUUCUUAUAAAAUAUGACGAUAAAAGACUUGAAUUUAAGAUCAAAGAAACUGAUUUUACUGUAAAUAGGAAAAAAAUUUCUAUAAAAAUUUCAUCAGAUUUGGAUUGUGUGUAAUCGUUAAAUUCACAAAUCCAUCACAUCGACCAUUAAAAUUGUCAAUUUUGAGACCUUUUGAUCAUUAGUCAAAUAAUGUCAAAAAAUUAUAAAAUUUAGUUUCUAAGUAUUUUCUAACGGAGCCGAUCGUUGAUUUGGAAACCGCAUCAUCGAAAAUAACUUAGUAGUAAGGAGGCCUCCGUACUCCCGAUAGUAUACCAACCUAGUUCUAUAUAUAUAUAUAUAUAGAGAGAGAGAGAGAGAGAGAGAGAGAGAGAGAGAGAGAGAGAGAGAGAUAGAGAGAGAGAGUUGCGCUGGAAUGCUAUCAGUAGCAAAUAGGCUCUAUUGCCACCCAUUUGGUUUCGAUGAUGGAGCCUCCAAAUCAAUGAUCAGCACCGUUGAACAUAAUUUAUACCACUCGAAGUAUUUAGAAACCAAAUUUCACGGUUUUUCGAUAUUAUUCUGUUGUCCAUCAAGUGGACACAAAAAUGAACGACUAAAAAUGAAUGUCUUUUAAUCACUAAGAUUUUUAACUAAAAGUUAAAGUUUGAGGACUUAUUUCAAAUUGUCGGUGAGGGUGUCUUUAACUUAUUAAAAUUGAUUGAAGUAAGAAGAAACAAUUACAUACACAUGAUAUAUAUAUUAACACUCCAUACUCCAUAACUUAUAUUAGAUGACUAAUGUUAUAAUAUUAAAAGUUAAUUAAAUAUAUCUGAUCUAUAAAGUCUAAUAAUUUAAAUUAUAUUCAAUGAAUAAGAUUUUAAAAUUUCUAUUAAAGAGUUUUAAAUAUGUGGUGUAUAUAUGUACACAUAUACAUCUGGUAUAGAGAAUGAGUAAUAGGGUCACUCAUAAUUCCAAGAGAGAUGAUGAAUCUUUGUAUGCAUUUAGUGUAUACUAAUACUCCAUACACCGCACAGUAUAUUAAACGAUUGAUAAAUUAUCUGAUAAUUAGUAAUAUAAAAUAAAAUAUAUAAUAUAAAUUAUUUAAAUAAUUUAUUGUACAACAUGAACUUAUUUUUAAUAUAUAAUUUAAAAUUGGUUUACGGUGAAAUAGGCGCGUUCAAAUUUUUUAUUGGAUAUUUGACGAGUUUCAAUUGAUUCUUAAACUUAAAUGACCACGUGGCAAGGUUAGGAUCUUUUUUUCUUUUUUUUUUUUUGAGAAAAAGCUACCUGCUUCAUUCAAUAAGAGAGAUGAACUAAACGUGAGGUGGAAGCAGCUAAGGCUUCCUAGGCAAAAAUCGGAAAGGAAGUAAAACAAGAAGAAAAGGACAAAGAAAGAAAAAGAUCAGAGGGUGAUAAAGUGGACAAAAAAAACGCAAGUUGAUGGGUUACAGGAGUGAGAUCCAAGAGUUAGACAGGGUUAAAACUCUGUCCAAGGCUCUGACGACGUCGGGAAGAUUCGAAGAGAAGACAAAACUAUUUCGCUCGAUCCAGACAACCCACCAAGUAGCCGCUAGCUUGGUUAAACUUUUAGCUCUUAUAGUGGCAUCGAGGAUUUGAGAUAAUAAGUUCCAAAGAUCUCGGACGUCUUCGCCCGAAGCGUUGUUGGGUAUCUCAGCCAGUCGAAGAAGAAGAAAUAGGGCGAAAACGCAAUUGCAGAAAAAGUGGUCACAACUUUCCAAGGAAAGUGCACAGAAGAUGCAAUGAGGUUCCACUUGAAUCCCUCGAUUGGUCAGUCUGUCGGCCGUGAGCAACCUCUUGCGGAGUAGCAACCAGACGAAGAUUUUGAUUUUGACAAGAAACUUUAAUUUCCAUGUAGUUGAUUGGUCGGGUCAGUUCGUCCUGCAUAAGUGAUGAAUUUAUAAAGGGAGUUGACAGUAAACUUUUGGUGUGAGGUCCACCUCCAUUUGAGCAAAUCAGGUUCGGUGGGUUGUAAUGGAGUAGCCGGUCCUUUAUCAGCCCUGUAGAACGCAGCGGAAGUUUUCGAUUCGUACCUUUUUGUGGAAGCGAUUCGAGCCGGAUCGGAUUGAUUGAUUCACGUGUCCUCGGAUCGUCCUUGAAUGUCUUCUUACGCUCCAAACUCGCGGUGAAUCGAACUACAAACGAGCGCGAUCGCAAAUCCACCGUGCAAGUCUCUAUAGAAUAAUAGGUCAAUGGAGGAUGUGGUUUCUCUCUAUUAUUUUCUUAUUCUCUCUCUUUUUCCAUUCUUUCCGUAUAUUUCGUUAUAUGGGAUCGCCCGCAUAUUUAUAAGGAAUUUCAAAAUCCUAAUGGCGUUGGAGAUAAAGCCAAAUCGGUUAUUAAUUGUUAUCCUAAUAUGACUAGAAUUUAUCUCUAACUAACUUUCCAAUUUGAAAGCGAGAUUAAUUCCAAUCCAAUUAGAUAACAUAACAACCGUCCGAUCGAACCCGCUUAUGGGCGUACCCGAUUCGAUUUAACCGAAUGCCAACAUCUCCCACUCGCACAUGACGGGAUCGAUGCCAUCGUAACCACUUCCUCAACAUCACACCACUAUUAAUUCUAUUCAUACAGGAAAAUGAACAGUGCGACCGCCGAGUCAACCUGCAUUUUGGGAGCUCUAUACUAGAAACCGCAUCCGGCCAGCAUAGAGACAUCAACCCUCAAAAAGAAAAAAAAUUAGACUCGUGAUACCCUAGACCAUUGAAUUACAUCAGGUUCAGCAUCUCUAAUCCCUCAAAGAGCCAUGCUAACCGCAAUUGCGCACAUUAUGACACUAUACUCAUGAUUGUUUCGCUAUACUGAAGCGAUACAACCUGUCGACAAUGAGUCAAAGUGUUUUAAUGUAAUUCAACUAGUCUUCCUUGAGCCCUCAUGCCACUGAGUUGAGAACUGAUUGCUUUCCCAGCAAUGCCCCGUAAAGCCGCAUCACUCAUAGCCGUAGGUAACAUGCCAAAGUAGCAACAUCAAUUCUUUCACUUAAUGACAUAGUCAAAAGUCACUAAGGGCAUCUAACAUAUAUGGGACAUCGUCUCAAAAUAAUGUCCGUAAGAACUCACACGAUGAGGAAGCAGGGAUCCAUUCACUCAUCUUCUUUAUUUAGUCGCCCAGCACAUGUAGUAUGAAAUACAUGCUAUGACAGAGAAUCCAAUAAGCGUAUGUCUUUCUCAAUGUCAUACGGAUCUUAGCUCAGUCACUCCCAGAGUGUCUAGCCUGAGUUCUCCAUUUGCUCGCUAUCUCAAGCGUCAAAUGGUGAGCUCACAUCCGGCUCUCAAUAUGCAGGCCAUACGAAUCAUGGGACUUUUCGUAUGCGGUCUCAUUAAUGACCUCAUCUUGGUGCCAACCAAGGCGGCUUCCAUUAAUGCCUCAAUUUUCGCUCGCUCUCUACAGCGCCGAAAAAAAUGAUUGCCCGUGUGAGAGGGCCAAUCAGCCUGUGACAUACUAUCAAUCAGUUUAAUAAUAAUGCACGUGUACUAAUUUUACCAAAUAUUUUUUUCAGAAUAAUAAUUUGUAAUUAAAUAACCAAGAAAUUACAAAAAAAAAUAAUCGACUGUCUACACAAUCAAAUCCUACGGAGUCCAAGAGCUUUAACAUGAGCCAAAAAAGAAUCUCUAACAAUAGGCUUAGUCAGAGGAUCUGCCACCAUGCGACUCGUAGAGAUGUGUUUCAGGAUUAUUUCUUUCUUCUGCGCCACUGCCUUCGAGUGGUCCAAUCCCAGAUUGGACGAAAAAUGGCUAACCAGGCCCACGGCAUAGCAUAUAUCAGGCCGAGUACACAUCAUAGCAUACAUCAGGCUCCCGACCGCAUUAGCAUAUGGAAUCCGAUUCAUCUUGUCCUUCUCUUCAGAAGUUUUAGGGCACUGUUUAAGGUUCAAACUCUCACCUUUAGCAAUAGGAGUGUCAAUGGGUUUGCAAUUUUGUAUCUGAAAUCGUUCUAAAACUUUUCUUAGGUAAGUCUCUUGAAACAGACCUAAAAGUUUCUUUGAACGAUCUCGUAGGAUCUUAACUCCGAGCACAUAAUUCGCUUCAUCCAUGUCCUUCAUUUCAAAAUUAGAGGACAGCCACGUCUGAGUGGCGACAAUCAUCUCCUUAUUAUUCCCGGCCAAUAGGAUGUCAUCAACAUAUAAGGAAAGGAUUAGAAAAAAUCCUUUGGACCAUUUAACAUACAUACAGUGAUCUUCUUCAAUCAUCGUAAAUCCAUCUUCAGUGAUGGCUCGAUGAAAUCGAAUAUACCACUGUCUGGAGGACUGCUUCAAUCCAUAAAUGGAUCGUCGGAGCUUACAAACUUUAUGCUCCUCACCGUUUACAGAGAAGCCAGCUGGCUAAUCCAUAUAGAUCUCCUCAUCCAGUUCCCAUUGAGAAAUGCAGUUUUAACGUCCAUUUGGUAAAGUUCCAAAUCCAAAAAUACGACAAUGGCCAAGAUCAGACGGAUCGAAGCAAACCUUACAACAGGAGAAAAAGUUUCUUCGUAAUCAACGCCUUCUCGUUGGGUAAAACCCUUUGCUACUAGGCGAGCCUUGUACCUAUCGAUAGAACCGUCUGCCUUGCGCUUAAUCUUGAGAACCCAUUUAUUCCCAAUUGUUUUGCGCCCUUGUGGCAAGUCAACCAAGUCCCAGACAUGAUUUGACUUCAUCGAUUCUAUUUCCCAUCCAUUCCUUAUGAGUAGGUAAUGAGAGAGCCUCUUGGAAGGAUCUAGGCUCAUCAUCAUCAUGUGCAGCAAGCAUGAAAGCUUCCCCCUCAAUCUCAAAACGACGACGGGGAAUGCCUACACGUGCGCUCCUACGAAGUUGAGGCUCCACAUCUAAAGGCAAGUCGCUCCCACUAUCCCCAGGAGGUAUCGGAGUCGCCUCUUCUGCCUCAACUGAGCGAAUAGAAGCGCCAAUGUCAGAGUCAUCCAUCUCAUGGAACUCAGUUUCAUUUCGAACCUCACUUCUAUAAGGAAAAUCCUCCUCGAGGAAUUCAACAUCUCGUGACUCAAUCUCAGUCAAACUUCCAUCAGGCUGCUUUCUGAUGAACACGUAUCUCUUAGAGUGUUCAGAGUAUCUUAUAAAUAUACACUUUCUCCCUCUAGGACCCAACUUUCUAUCCUUGUGAGAAGUAUUGUGUACAUAAGCUGCCGAACCCCAAGGACGCAGGAGCUCCAAAUUUGGUUUCCUGUCUGUCCAUAAUUCAUAAAGGGUGGAAGGUACUGUUUUGGAGGGUACACGAUUAAGAAUGUAGGCAGCAGUUAACAAUGCGUCUCCCCAAAAGGAGACAGGCAAAUUUGCUUGCGCCAUCAUUGACCUAACCAUGUCAAGCAAGGUGCGAUUUCUUCUCUCCGUUACACCAUUUUGCUGUGGAGUGCCAGGAAUUGUCAGCUGUCUGAUUAUUCCCUUUUCAUCACACAAUUUCUUAAAUUGUUCAGAUAGAUACUCGCGGCCUCGAUCAGUUCUUAAGAAUUUAAUUUUCAUAUCUAACUGAUUCUCAACCUUAUUAAUAUAACGUCUAAAACAAUCCAAUGCUUCAGACUUAUGGGAGAUCAGAUAAACAUGACCGAAGCGCGUAUGGUCAUCUAUAAAUGUGAUGAAGUAAAAAGCACCAUGUCUUGCCCUCACACUCAUUGAGCCACAAAUGUCGGAAUGGAUUAAUUGUAAAGGAAAUUCUGCCCUUGAAGCUUUAUUAAAUGAUUUUCGGGUCGCUUUUCCCGCUAAACAAUGUUCACAAGUGGGUAGGUCGACUUUAGUGAGUGAGCUCAAUAACCCAUCUCUAACUAAUCUAGUCAUUCUAUCCUGCCCAAUAUGACCAAGACGUGCAUGCCAUUUAAUUGAAACAUUGUGAUCAUUCUCAACAGAAGAUAGCAGGAAAAAAGAAUCACUAUUAUUAAUAUUAUAAUUAAUGUCCAAAACCAUAAAACCAUUCGACAUAAAACCUCUUCCAUAAUAAAUAGUUCCAAGAUGAAUCUUAACUACAUCACUCUCAAAACGAAAAGAAAAGCCUAACUGUAGCAUAGCAAGAAUAGAAAACAAGUUCCGCCGAAUUCCUGGAGCAUAAAGUACAUCAUGUAGAUAUAAAGUUCGACCACCUUGCAUGAUCAACUUGUAUGUGCCAACGCCUAACACAUCGACACUUGAAUCAUUCCCCAUGUAUACUCUUCUGCUCCCAGCAGGCACGUGACGGUACUCGACGAAUCCCAUCCGAUCCCUCGCUACGUGGUCUGUUGCUCCUGAGUCUACAAUCCACACAGGGAGAGAUUCAGCAACAAACGUGUUAGAAGAAACAAAAGAGCGAGAAUCGGGAUAGUGUUGUACCUUCUUCGGCUCAGUGCAAUCACGAGCGAAGUGUCCUAGCUGAUUACAGUUGAAACAAGUCAUCUUUGACUUGUCUUUCUUGCCACCUCGUUUGCUUCUUUUUCUUUUAGUGUUCUUCGCAUUCAUAGGCGCGGAUCCGCUACGAUUUUGAGCCCCAGUAGUCCUCUUUCGCUUCAACCCAGAUGUCCUGCGAAAGUUUGACUCAACAGCAUUGGCAGUUGGAGUUUUAACAGCCUCAAGGCGCUCCUCCUCCAACUCCAAAUGCCGCGCAACAUCCUCAAAAGUUUUGAUAUUAUCGUUAUAGGUCAAAUUUACUCGCAUAUGUUCCCACGAAUUGGGAAGAGAGCGAAUCGUAGCUUGGAUUUGCUGCUCAUUAGUCAAGGUGCCGCCAGCCGACUUUAACUCGCGAAUCAUGUUUGACAUAGUUCUAACGUGUUGCUUCAUAGUCUGAUCGGCACGCUUCUUAUAACUGUCAAACCUCAUAGUCAGACUGCGCAACCUUGUAGCCGAAGUUGCACCAAAUUUUGCUUUGAGAGCCUCCCACAUGUCAUACGCAGUCGGAUACUGCUCACACUCGCACAAGAGAUCAUUCUGCAUACUGCUCAGCAACAUAAUGCGAGCAAUGCGAUCCUUCUUAAGCCAAUUAUUAUAGGCUUCCAUAUCUCGGCGAGCCUGGGCACUAGUGCCCUCUGUAGGUUGGUCCAUUUUAUUGCUCAGGUUUUCCAGGACUUCUUGCUCAGCGAGAACAUAUUGAAUUUUAUGGUGCCAAAUAUCAUAAUUGUCACCAUUAAAUUUCUCGCCCUUGUUUAAAUCAGCAACAAUUUGUUUGGAAGCCAUUCAAUCUUACUUUGCAAUGCACAGAAAGUAUAUUUUAAAAUUAGUACACCAUACAUGCAUUCAAUUUUGUCGCAUCUCUAAUUAAAUAAAUUAAAAAAUUAGAUCAUACAUGCAUAAAGAAAAAUUUCGCUAUGCUCAUAAUCACAUCACACACCAUAUGUCAUAAUUUUUAAUUUAUUUAAAUAAGAUGCACAAAAAAUUUGGGAGUAAAAUCAUAUAAUUUACUCUACAAAAAAAAAAGAUUCCCACUUGACAAGGCAUGCAUAUUAUGCCUAAACAUUUUAUCUAUACAUCAUAACAGGCAUUAUAAUAUCAAAUAAAAAUUGCAUCCAUUAUAAAAGGCAAUAUAAAAUUCAUCAUAAAAAAAAAAUCAUGCAUUAUCUAUAUCAUAAAAGCAUAUAGAAUCACGAAAGCAUAUUAAUCAUCAAAUACACCCCCUUUUUUUUUAUUAAAAAUAUAUUUUUAAAAAAUUGGGGCAGAAACGAAAAAAAAAGGAAAAAAAAAAAUCAGCAGGCCCGCAGGCCCGCUCGCGGUCCGGCCCAAGUAAGGCCUGCGCGCAGCCCUCGCGCGCGGCCAGCAAUUGGCCCGCGCGCGGCCCGCGGCCUGUGUGGCCCGGGCGGCCCGCGUGGGCUGCGCGGCCCGCGCGCCGCCCGCGGUCGGCGCUGCCCUCGUGGGCUGCGCAGACCGCGCGAGGCUCACGGCCUGUGUGGGCUACGCGGGGCUGCGCGGCCCGCGUCCUGCAUGGCCCGUGAGGCGCGUGGCCCGCACGGCCGGCGGCGUGCGUGCGGUCAGCGUGGGCUGCGCGGCCCGCGCCUUGCGCGGCUCGCGUGGGCUGCGCGGUCCAGGUGCGGCCUGCGGCCUGCACGGCCCGCGUGGGCUGCAUAGUGGGCGGCCUGCGCGGCAUGCGCGGCCCGCAUGGGCUGCGCGGCCCCCGCACGGCCCGCGGCCUGCGCGCGGUCUGCGUGCGCACCCAGGCGGCUCCAAGCAGCGUGAUCUUCCGUACAGGAAUUUUUUUUUAAAAAAAAAAAAACUUCAAAAAAAAUAUAACAAGAGAUAUAGAACGCCGAUUCAUGCAAGAAACAUAUCAAUGGAAACCUUGCGAGGAGCCCUUCCACAUCAUGCAAGAUUCGCAAUAAGAUAUCCAUCACACAUCACACAAGACACCUCAAAAAAAUCGAUUUAGGGUUUCAUUUUUCUUAUAAAACACAAAACCAUAUUAAAUCAAGCUUUGUAAAUUUAAUCUUUCAACAUAGGUGUUUUAAGAUGUGUGAAAAUCAAACAAAGAUAUCAUCCUUUAAAAAAAAGCCAUUAACGUCCACAUGCAUACAAGAAAAAAUCUAAAACAAUUAUAGAUUUAAUUUAACGCAUGUAAUCUCGUUAAAGGAUGUAUCAAGACCACGAAAUCAAUCAAAAAAGUCUCUGAUACCAAUGUAGAACGCAGCGAAAGUUUUCGAUUCGUACCUUUUUGCGGAAGCGAUUCGAGCCGGAUCGGAUUGAUUGAUUCACGUGUCCUCGGAUCGUCCUUGAAUGUCUUCUGACGCUCCAAACUCGCGGUGGAUCGAACUACAAACGAGCGCGAUCGCAAAUCCACCGUGCAAGUCCCUAUAGAAUAAUAGGUCAAUGGAGGAUGUGGUUUCUCUCUAUUAUUUUCUUAUUCUCCCUCUUUUUCCGUUCUUUCCGUAUUUUCCGUUAUGUGGGAUCGCCCGCAUAUUUAUAAGGAAUUCCAAAAUCUUAAUGGCGUUGGAGAUAAAGCCAAAUCGGUUAUUAAUUGUUAUCCUAAUAUGACUAGGAUUUAUCUCUAACUAACUUUCCAAUUUGAAAGCGAGAUUAAUUCCAAUCCAAUUAGAUAACAUAACCGUCGGAUCGAACCCGCUUAUGGGCGUACCCGAUUCGAUUUAACCAAAUGCCAACAAGCACCAACUGUCUUCUAUUUCUUGAGGAGGCAGAAGCAACGUAACCUCUACAAAUGAAGCGCCAUCUCCAUUCAUGUGAAUUCCAGCAUUAGGAAACAUGAACAUCUUUGUUCCUGAUAGAUGAGAAUAUUGCUGGGAACACAGUGCUCAGCGGUGUUUCCCCAAUCCAGAUGUCCGCCCAGAGCCUGAUGUUGCUUCCAUCACCAAUUUCAUAGGAAAUGCCGCAUUUAAACACAUCGCGACACUGGACCACUCUUUUCCACCAUUGCGAGUAGGGAACAAAGGCAGUACCCUCGUGCAAGCGUCUCCUUCUCUUGUAUUAUAGAUAUCUAAUUAGCUUACACCAAGGCAGAUGUGGCUCAAUGAAGAAGCGCCAUCACCAUUUGGUUACGAGCGCGAUGUUCAUUGCGUCCACUUCUUUUAUCCCCAGUCCACCUUCGUUCUUGCUUUUACAAAUCGUUUUUCAGUUGACAAGGCUUGCUUCCCCAGUGAUUUUGGAGCAUCCUUUUCAGAAGAAGGCUCUACGUAGGGCUUCAAUUCUGAAUAGCACCCAUCGAGGCACUUUGAAGAUUGAUAGGUAGAAAAGCGGUAAGUUGGUUAGUACCGAGUUGAUGAGAAUAAGUCUACCCCUUUGCGAUAGUAGUUUAGCUUUUCACCAUUCGAUUCGCGAGCCUAUGCGAUUGAUGACGACUGUCAAAUCUUCCUUGCGAAGGGGCUUAUUGUGGAGAGGCAGCCCCAGGUAACGGAAAGGUAGGUUGCCUACUUGACAACCUAAGAUGUUAGCUAGUCUGUCGUGCUUGGUUGGGUUGGUACCUAGGUAAAAUAAUUCCGUUUUAUUUUUGUUGAUCCGUAAACUAGAGGCCCACUCAAAGAUUUUCCAAAUGAAUAGAAGGUUUCGCAUGUUGCGUGUUCGUGGCUCACAAAAAAGAUUGUGUCGUCCGCAUAUUGAAGGAGUGUUGUUUGGCAGUCUUCUCCUGGACCGAUUCUGUCCAACAUAUCCCUAGCAGCUUCGGUUAGUCUGGCCAGGCAGUCGGUCACGAGUAAGAAGAGAUAAGGAGAUAGAGGAUCGCUUGUCUCAGGCCUUUCCUUGUUUUAAGCCACUUUGUCAGGCUGUCAUUCAUGAGGAUGGUUACCUUUGCAUUGCAAAUGCAUUAUUCGAUCCAAGCCCACAAUUUGUCACUGAAGCCAAGCCACUGCAGGAUCCUUUGUAGAAAGGUCCAUUUGACAUUAUCAAAUGCUUUUUCAAAGUUUACCUUAAUGCUUACACAUUCCGUACUUGAUUUAGUGCACCAGUUGAUUAGUUCACUGGCGGUGACAAAGGAGUCUGCGAGCUGUCGGUUUUUGAUGAAGGCUGAUUGCGAAGAGAAGAUAAUAGUCGGUAGAGCACCUGAGAAUCGGUUGGCCAGGACCUUAGAGAUGAUUUUCUGAAUUCCAUUAAUGAGGCUUAUUGGGCGGAAGUCGUUAACCUUACAUGCUCCUCCUUUUUUAGGGAUAAGGCAUACUUAGGAGUAGUCAAUCGGGCCGGAAAAAAGUUUGUCUUCCUGGAGGUCUAGGAAGACAUUAAAUAUGUCCUCCUUGACGGUCUCCCAGAAGGAUUGGAAAAAGAUAAAGGGGAAGCUAUCUGGCCCCGGGGUUUUGUCGCUACCAAGUUGGAAGGUUGCAUUCUUGACUUCAUCUAGAGUGAACGGGCUAGUAAGUGCAUCCGGGUUGAGCAGUCUGUUAGAGUGAUAUAGUCCGCUCCAUUCUCCAUGAGACGUUCGUGGCUCCUUUGCACGACCAAAAAGAUGUUUGAAAGUAUAGGAGAAGUGGGCUCGUUUGUUUUGUUCGUUGUAGAUUUGCCGUCCUGAUUCGUCUUCAAUAACUUCGAUUGCGUUGAUGCGUUUUCUCCCAUUGGCUACUGCGUGAAAGAACUUAGUGUUACUAUUGCCUUCCUUGAGCCAAAAUUGUUUAGACCUAAUUUUUCAUAAGAUUUCUUCCUCCUAGAGAAUGAUCUGGAGCUGGGCUUUUAUGGCAGCCGGUCUAUCCAGGGAGUCUUGUGAUAGGGCGAAAUGUUCUUCCAGAAGAUCAAUGUUAUGAAGUUCUUCCUGCAGGAGCCUCUUGGUUGAUGAAAUGCUAUAGAAAUUCAUCUUGCGCCAUUCCUUAAUUUUGAUUCUACAAUGCUUGAGCUUAGCCGUUAGGGUGAGGAUAGCCGAUGUUUUGGGGGUGACUUCAUUCCACCAAUGCGGUACGUUAGAGAUGAAGUCCUCCUUAGUAAGCUAGACGUGCUCGAAUCUAAACCUCCGUGUCGGUGGGUGGAUCCCGGUAGAUAGGACGAUAGGUGUAUGGUCAGAAGUGAUUCGAGGGAGGGCUUUGACCUUUUGCUUAGAGGAUAGGUUUGGUCCCAAGAUGUGACCCAACUGUCAAUUAAUGUAUACUCGCAUGCGAUAUAGUAGAAAAUAUGUAAGGCCUAAUUUAUAUAAGUGCAGCAUAAAGUUAUUAAUUUCAAUAAAUAUUCAAUUUAAUAAAAUAUAUUAAAUCAAAAUAAUUAAUAAUUACAUAAAGUUAAUAAAACAUAAAAAAAAUGACGGUUUCUAAUUGAAAUUGACAUAUGUUGAGAGGGCAUGCGCGCGUGCAUCUCAAAUUCUCAAUUGAUGUAUAAAAAUAUUUGUGAGAAAAGAAUAAACUGCAAUUAAUUUAACUAACAAUUAUUGCAACUUCUCAUUGUAUUCCUAAAAAUGUCAACUGCCAUGGUGCAGCUAUUUGCUGUUACUACCAAAUAAAUAUUAAACACAGAAGCAAAACUCUUAUUAAUAUGGCAAGUUGUAUCUCCUCUUGACCACGCUAAUAGAUGCCUCCUAUGUUUGCUUCAUGUAGAAGCAGCAAUGCACCCAAGGGUGGACUUUACCGCGCCAGUCUUAUAACAAUUUUAGAUCAGCUUAAUUUGUCUCACAAUUUUAUUCUUUUAAUAUUAAAAAUUUUUAAAAAAAAAUUAUUUCAAUCCUUGGAUAAGUGGGUUGUAAUUAAAAUUUUCACCCCCUCUUUUGGAUGCACAGAUAGUUUGAUAUAUACUUCGAAAAAGGGUGUAUGAUUUAUUACACCCAUGCCAAUCAUUAAAAUUUUCGCUUAAGAUUAACAAAAUUUUAUAUAUUUUUAAUAUAUAUAUUUUUUAAAAAAAUUGACAAGACAAAAGGGUUUGGAUUACGACGUGUAUAAUAUUAUACACUCUUUUUUGAGAUAUACAAAUUGCAUUGCUUAAAUUUUUUUGCUUCAGACUUUUAGUAAAAUAAAAGAAAAAUUAAAUAAAAUAAAGAGUAGUUAUACUAUUUAUACACUCUAUUUCAAUUUGAUGGAUGGUAUUAAUUUACGUGACAAGUAGAAAAAUUUCAUCCGUUAGAUGAAUGUGUGUAAAUGAUAGUGUUCAGGUAGGCUUUUUUAUUAUAAAAUAAUUAGCGAAUCCUGUUUAGGCCAUAGGAGGAAAGCCUAUAUUUUAUUAUUAUUAUGUAUGAUAGGCCAGCAGGUAGCAUUUACGCAAAUUGUUCAUAAACAUAAGUUGGCGCUGUUGGUGAAGUCGUCCCCGGCCCAUACGGGUUUGGAGCCAUUGAUUCACAGCCGGCGGCUAGCUCUCUUUUCCGAGCUUGGCACGAGAAUAUGGCGGGACUAGAAUCGAUCGGAUUUACAGCACUGGGAUGGGUGGCAUCUCACCUCGCGGCGAAGCUGCUCAACGAAGCCUUCGCCUGCUUAGGCAUCAAGGCGAAGAAAAAGCUGGGAGACGAAGAAAAAGCUGGGAGAGAUGAAGCAAACUAAUCGGGUACGUUUUUCUCUCCGUUGACUAUUUGUUAUUGGGUUAAAAUAGGUUCAAUUUUCUGUCUCGUGACAAAAGACUUAGAGGCUAAUAAAUUGAGUGACGGUGUGAUCUACAAGAGACCUAACGGCAAGAGGCCCAACAAUAGACCCAACGUCCAUAUGGGUUGAGUCAGAUCGAAGUCCGCGAGUGCUGUGGCUGAGUCCUUAAGUGCGAUGAGUGCGUCUUUCCUAUAAGUAUGUGUUUUUGAUCCACAAGUGGUAUCAGAGCCAGUGUAUUAAUGGUGCAGGUGUUGUGAGGGGGGAUUGUUGGCUAUUUAUUAUUGGACUAAAAUAGGUCCAACUUUCUACUCCGUGACAAUAGGCUCAGGAGACUAACAAGUUGAAUUGGGUGAGCCUAAUAAGUUGAGUAGCAGUGUGGUCCACAAGAGACCUAACGGUAAGAGGCCCAACAAUAGACUCAACGUCCAAGUAGGUUUGAGUUAAGUCGAAGCCCACGAGCGCUGUGACUGAGCCCUUAAGUGCGAUGAGUGCGUCCUUCCUAUCAGCAUAUGUUUUUGUAAUAGUUGGUUAGUGUUUACGAUCCACAAGUGGUAUCAAAGCAAGUAGUGCAGGUUCGAUUUCCACGUGCUGCAUUAAUGGUGUAAGUGUUAUAGGGAAGGAGGGGGAAUUGUUAGCUAUUAUUGGGCUAAAAUAAAUCUAACUUCCUAUCUCGUGACAAUACGCCCAGGAGAUUGAUAGGUUUAGUGACGGGAUGAUCCAUAAGAGAUUUAAUGAUAAGAGACCCAAUAAUAAACCCAAUAUUCAGGUAGAUUAAGUCAAGUCGAAAUCCGCGAGCGCUGUGGCUGAGCCCUUAAAUACGGUGAAUGCAACCUUUCUAUUAGCAUGUGUUUACUUCGGAAAUGGAUUAUGCGUGUCUUAAAAGGUAGUCGGGAGCUGUCACCUCAAAAUAGCAAGAAGAAGAAGAAGAAGAAUAUGGGGAUGUUCCAGCGGAAGCGCAGGCCAAACAAGAUGUGGACUGUUAAUUAGUGUUGUCAAAAAAUUGGUUUGGCCAGUCAAAAGAAAAGGCAAAACAAAAAAGACGAAAAAAAAAGAAAAAAACAAAAACAAAAAUAAAAACAAAAAAGGAAAAAAGAACAAACAAAGAAAAGGAUGUGCAUGGUGGUCAUAAAAGAUUGUUGGGUUAGUGAUAUCAAAUUCACUUAUUAGCCUAAUUGGUUUUAUUUUGGGUUUGGUUCAACAACUCAUGUAAUGGGCUAGUUAGUAUUUGGUUUGGGCUUUAGUUGACCCAUUUGGUAUGUUGGGCCAAGUGGAGUUAAGAGAGAACUCUUUGGGUUAGAGAGAGUGUGUUCUCAUUUUUGCUCUCUAGGUUUUCCCUUUUCUUGUAAUAGAGAAGAGAGGUGUAGAGAGGGUNAGUUCUCUUAGAAGAAAUCACGUUGAAUUUGAACAUUAGUUUCAGAGUAUCCUUAGGCCGUUACACGUAUUGUUUCACUACCGGAAUAGAAGUAGGUAGUAGAAGAGAGGCUAUGAGAGUUCGAGUGUUUAUUACAACAACUUAUGUAAGUUCACGAGCCUCUGGAACCACGGAAGAAAGUAAGAGUUUCUCAUGUUGGCAGAAAAGUUCUUUUAAGCCAACCAUUAACUGAACAAAACCAUGUUCGAGAGAUUGAAACGGGUAUUAGGUUUUCGGCAAAAGAGAGGUUAAUAUAACUUUUCUUGAAGUAGGCGGUUCGUGUACGCUUACCACCGAUUUCGAAAGUACAGGUAGAGGAGGGUAAGUAGUAGCCGGUAGGUAAGGCCAAAGAAUAGAGAGGGUUCAUCUCGGAACAUAACAGGUACAACAUGGUUAUUUAGUACUUGAAAAUUGAAGGUUUCAAGUUUCAAAGAGAAAGGUAGUUUAAACGGGUGAAGGUUAGUUAAACAACGGUAACUCUGUUAAAUAGCUUGUGGAACGUGAGUUGGAACUUCGAGACUAUGGUUAACAUCACUCGAUUACUGCCUUGGGAGUGAUAGUUCUAUGAUUAGUGUGAUCAUUCGUUUACACUACAUAGAUUUAAUAGGUGUUGGUUCUAUACGUUUUAACCUCAUUUACUUCAACUUUCUCUUUUUAGGUUCGUGUUCGUGUUGUUGUUGUGUUCUAAAUGCACCAAGUGGGUUUGGCCCGAUGUAGGUGCCCGUGUCUCUCUAGUUUAGGUGAUAGUUUACUCCUCUAAUGUUCUAAACCAAUCUCUAAUGGUGAGAUAGUGUUACCCGAAUGUUGGAAGGUUAUCUUUAGGGAAGAACGAUGUGGAAGAAACUUCGUGGAAGACUAAGGCGCUUAGGGCGAAGCCUUAUGGAGAAUCUUAAGGAGGUUAGAUGGAACCUUCAGAAACUUAGUUCGUUCUUCUUGUUCUCUCGAGGAAGAGGUUGGGAGAGAUGUGGAGAGAAGAGAUAAUGUUCUUUUUCUUGGACACCGUUUGUAGUGCAUUGUUGGCCGAUGAACUUCGAAAGAAGGUAACUUUGGGGAGUUCGGAGGGUGAAACGGAAGCACUUGUAGUAAGAGGUCGUUAUAAAGAACGUGAAAAUAUGUCAAAAAAUUUUUCAAGAAGCAAGUCAAAGAAUAGAUCAAAGUCUAGAAAUCGGAAUGACAAAAGGCUUUGUUGGUUUUGUGGCAAAUCCGGACAUAUGAAGAAAGAUUGUCUAAAAAGAAAAGGCUCAAAUGGUGGAAGGGACAAUGGUGAAUCAAGUAGUAGUAAACAAAACUCGGAAUCGAACAAUGAAGCACAUCAAGUUGAAGAAACAACAUCGGGUGUUAUUGAUGAUGAGGUCUUGAUGGCGGGUUCUAGUUCAGUAUUUCAUCAAAAUUGGAUUCUUGAUAGUGGCGCUACUCAUCAUAUGUGCCCACAUCGUUCAUGGUUCAUUACCUAUGAGGAAUGCGAUGGUGGUACCAUUUCGAUGGGAAACAACUCAACUAGUAGAACGGUGGGAGUUGGUUCGGUGCGCUUGAGAAUGUAUGAUGGAAUGGUUCGGGUAUUUGAAAAUGUGCAACAUGUUCCGGAUUUGAAGAAAGGUUUGAUCUCUCUCUCCGAAUUGGACAACAAAGGCUACAAAUUUACGGGGCAAGGUGGAGUUAUAAAAGUCUCCAAAGGUGCGUUGGUUGUCAUGAAAGGCAUUCGGGUUGGAAACUUGUACAAGCUAUUGGGUAGUACAAUGACGGAUGAAACUUAUGCGGCGACGGAAAAUGAUGACCUUCCUCUCCGACUAUGGCAUAGAAGGUUGGGUCAUAUGAGUGAGAAGGGAAUGAAGGUUUUAGUAGAGAAGAAACUUAUACCGGAUAUUACUUUUAGUGACUCGGAAUUUUGUGAGCAUUGUGUUUAUGGAAAACAUCAUAAGUGGAGCUUCAAAGCCGGGAGUCAUACAAGUAAAGGUAUUCUUGACUACAUUCAUACGGAUGUGUGGAGUUCUCCUACUACUUCAUAUGGUGGUGCCAAUUAUUAUAUAUCAUUUAUUGAUGACUUCUCACGGAAGGUUUGGGUGAAAUUUCUCAAGUCGAAAGGUGAGGCAUUUCAAGCAUUUAAGCACUUCAAGGCCGAAGUAGAGAAUCUCACCGGAUGCCGCAUUAAAGUUCUCCGAUCGGACAAUGGUUUGGAGUACAAAUCUAAAGAGUUUGAGCUCUUUUGUAAAGAGAAUGGCAUCUCAAGACACUAUACAAAUCCAUAUGAUCCACAACAAAAUGGGGUGGCCGAGAGGAUGAAUCGUACAUUGAUGGAGUGGGCUCGUAGCAUGUUGAGCAAUGCCGGUUUGGAGCACGAGUUAUGGGCCGAGGCCGUGUCCAUGGCAUGUUAUCUUGUCAACCGCUCACCUUCCAUGGCUAUAAAUGGAAAGACACCGGAGGAGGUAUGGUUCGGAACUCCUUGUGAUUAUUCUAAUCUAAAAAUAUUUGGUUGUCAUGCUUAUGCAUUGGUUCCUAGUUGUCAAAGAACUAAGAUAGAUCCAAGAUAAAAAAAAUGCAUAUUUGUUGGUUAUACAAAAGGUGUGAAAGGAUACCGGUUAUGGGAUCCGGUGGCCCACAAAAUUAUCACAAGUUGUGAUGUUCAUUUUGAUGAAUCAAAUGUGUUGAAAAAGGGUGUAGAACAUGAAAGCAUCGAGGAGGAAGAAAUUCGGAAUGAUACUCAAAAUUUUGAGCUACCAUCUUCAACUUUCUCACCAAAUGAAGACAUUGAAUCGGCGGAUACACCGGUUGAAUAUGGUGAGGUCGAUGAUCAAAUCCAUGAAAAUUCUAAUGAAGGGGAAAGUUCUCAUGAAGGUGGAGAAAUAGAUGACUGGUCUCGACGUUCUACAAGAGAGCGGCACACACCUUUGCAUUUGAAAGAUUUUGUAAAUCCAAGUACAUUUCGGGCACUAAUUGUGGAACAAGAAGAGCCGUGUACAUUUCUAGAGGCCAUAAAUUCUAGUGAUGCAAAGCGCAAGUGCGGCUUAGGUGCUGCGGCAAGUACUUCUCGUAGUACUAAUACCACUAGGAAGCGAAACCUCAUAGCAUCUUUUGGUCCCUUUUCUUGAGGUUCGUUUCGCCUCUAGUUUAGCUGUAUAACUCUUACGCUUUGCUAUAGAGCUAAACUAGAUUUCUCCGAUUAAACAUCUUUUAUCCAAAUCUUACUUUAGGCUCGGAGAUCCCAAAGAGUUUGUACAUAAGAAUACUACGAACUAGUUAAUCUCUUGGGGAUAUCGAAUAAAUAUCUGAAAUCUUAGUUAACCUCAGCUUAAUCUUUCAAAGAAAGGUUUUUGUCGUGGAACAUGGCCUUGUUCCUUACAACAGGUCCCAUGUGGUACUGCCUUCUAAAAAGACGCUUCGACGACAUGGGACCUGUCCGACAAUGAACAAGGCCUUGUCCCGAACAUGGCCAUGUCGUACUUCGAACAUGGCCUUGUUGGUAGUUCGAAGGACGCGUUUACAACUACCGACAUGGGACCUGUCUUUACGGAACAUGGCCAUGUCGUUACGUUAAAAGCGACUUUUACGUAACAAAACCUAAAAUGUUUGAGAAUCUUUGAAAGAUUAGUUUGUGUUGAACUUUUGUACUAAGAUUCUAGAUAUUAAUUCAUACUUAGUGGUAUUUGUUCUAAAUUUGAAUGGAUGCGUAGCACUAAGUUCAAAACGCACAAAAGGCUAAGAAACUUUAGAACCUAAGAAGCUAGAAGUUAUGAGGCUAGACUUGAAGAAGUUCUGAGGUUGAGCUGGGUGCUUUGAACGGUUGUGUAUCCUGGAUUGUAGUUGUGGGAGUGGAACGGUAGAAGUUACUGUAGGGCCUACAUUACUAUAACGUGUAGUUAUACAAAUCAGGAAAAUACUAUUUGGCCUAAAAAUCGGUUUGUAUAACGUGAGUAUGAUAGUGUAUUAUUUGUGUACCCAAAUUUUAAGUAUGGUUCGAGAAAGUAGUUUGGAACUUCGGUGUGGCGGAGGAACCAACGGAGCCAUUCACGGUACAUGAGCCGGAGGCACCAACUGUUUCGGUGGCAAUGAACUUCGAACCUGUAGGUUGAUUAACCUGGUAAAGAUACAAGUUUAUGUUUCGGGCAACAUCUAGAAGAGAACAGUUCUAGUGGCCGUUUUAAUCGUAGUUGUAUUGGAACGUAACCGGAACUCAAAAACGGUAUGUACUAACGUAUUAGUGAACAUGGAGAGUUUAUGGCUUUUUGGGUAAAGCGGCGAAGGGUUACGUGGAAAAGCCCUAAACGGUAUUUGGCUGAUUCUUGUGGUUGCCGUAUACGUUACAGGCCCGCACAUGUGUGGUACCGUUUGUAGUUCGAUGGAUGUUGUGAACUUAUCCCUUCAGCUAAGUAGUUGAAAAAAAGGAGGAGGCAGAAACCUGAAACGAGCCUUCUAUUAAAUUUCACUCUGCGUUUACCACAGAAAUGGCGGAAACGAAAUGAGUACGGUUUGAACAUAUAGUUAAAAAGAUGUUUAGGGAAAACACUUACACUGUUACACGGUAAAACAGAUAGGGCGGUUUAGAGGUACGGUUCUUAAACUGCACGGCCAGGUUCUAGAAAAUGAAGUUUCCGAAAUGAGUUAAGUAGGAACUCAAAAAUCAAACAGGAACGUAUGAUAUUCGUACAGUAGGUGUAUGUUGUGGUUUCGGUGUUUCCAUAGUAGAAACUUCGUAAAAUUCAUCUGUGUUACCAGUAUGAAUGAAGAAACCUUAGGUGCUGAAUCGUAUUUUCACAGUUUGAAAGCUAUGGUAACAGAACUACGAACAAACUCAGGUAUGUUAUUAAAAAACUCGAAUGUAUGUUCUACAAGAAAUAGGAAGAGAUACUUCGGAACUCCAACUAUGUAUAUUUGGAGAAGAAGAUUUAGAGGUACGUUUUUACGGCAAAAUUGUAGAUUAACGAGUUCAAGGUUUAGUAAGUAUCGUUGUUCUGAUUCUUGUUCGGCUUAUCUUUGGUUAAAUUGUUGUCCUCGUUUAUGAAGUUUCUUUAGGUAUGGAAGGGAAACACGCUUCGGAAAUCGUUGGUUAGAACGAGAUAUGGAAACUUAACAGGGUAGCCAAGGAGAAAACUAAAACAUGUGGGUGAACGUUGGUUAACGAAAAGCCGAGAAACCAUUGAGGUGGUUUAAGGUUCGAAGUAAGAACACUUCACGGUGUUAAAGAAGGAGGUAACGAAGAAAGGUUANUGGAAGGUUGUAAGUCCAUUGUGAUAGAGUGGUAAUCUCUAACCAAAUCUUGUAAUCUCCUCAUUUGAUAGUGGAUUUGAUCUCUCCGUGUCCGUGGAUGUAGCCCGGUUUGGGUGAACCACGUAAAUCUUGUGUUGUUGUUGUGCUUGUGCUUGGAUUUUUCUCUUUCAACUUCAUUUACUCCAAUCUUGCAUAUCUUGGUUGUGGAUAAUUUAGAUAAAUCACAUUUGCUUACUAGUGUGAUUAGUAUCUUGAUAGUGAGGGUUCCGUCAUUAGCUCACUACAAAGUGUAUUAUGUUUUUAUUUUUUUUCUUUCUCUUAAUGUAUCAUUAUGUUUUGUAGGGGGCCUGAAAUUUCUGUCAUGCUUGUAUGUAAAUUUUAGUGUUUUAAUUUUGUCCUUGUAGUACCUCUUACCCAUGUGGUUAAUGUACAGAGAAUACUAUACUAUAUUUUUUUUUGAGAAAAAUACUAUACCAUAUUUAUGUUGUUAUUGCUAAUUUUUCACAUUUUUACAGUAUUAUUGUGCAACAAAUUAAGGAAACCUUGAACAAGGCAUGCAGAUGCUAGCUGCACCAAAUGUCGAGUGCGAACAAACAGAUUUAAAAAUAUAUCUUGAGUAUUGCUGCAGAUACUACUUUUAAAGAUCUUUUAAAAGAAAAACAACUAAUGUAAGCGCAAUCCAGCAGUGGGACACGCAAAUUGUAUAUUUAUAGACUAAUGUACCAGCAUGCUGUACAUGUGUCUCAUACAAAUUAAUUUGUAUAAUACAAACUAACGAAGUGUUACUCUGUACUAGUGAAGGGAUAUUGUACAGAAAUGUUACAGCAGUAAAAUUUAAUUAGCUUUUAUAUUUUUUGUAAAAUUUUAUUGGCUGCCAUUAAUUUGAUAAUUAAAAUUGGUAUAUGUGACAUGUCAGAAUUUUGCAGAAGCUAAUUAGUAAUUGAAGUAAGUUUAUAGCUCAUCAUAUAUACGACUAUUAAUUCAUCAGAAAUUAUUCAGCAAUUAAAAUAAUUCUUAAGUAAAUUAAGGUCCCGUUUGGCCUAAAUUCUAAGAAAAUGAUUUCAGCGGAUCUUUUUUUGGUUUGGAGAAAUUAAUUUUGGUUAAAAAUUGUAUAGCGUUUUGCUGAACUUAGAUGAAAAGCGACGUUAUUUAAAUGAUUUUGGCAGAGAAAUGGGAGGGUUAGGGAAGUUGAGUGGACUGACUUGAGUUGGAAUUUUUUUGUUCUAUUUUAUUAUACAAACCAGUCGGGCUCGAGACUAGCUCUUAAAAAUGGACUUUUUUUACAAAAUAACCAUUUAAAAUUUUAUAAUUUACGAAAUAACGCUAUCAAAUUUGUAUUUGGCAAAAUAACUCUCGAAACGCGGUGAAUCAUUCACUGCGCUCUGAAGUCUUUUAAAGACGGUGAAUCAUUAACCGUCUUCUUUAUAAUUUUUAAAAGACGGUGAAUGAUUCACCGUCUUCUUCAUAAUUUUUUAGAAAAGAGAAAAAAUAAGGUUGUUAAAAUUAUACAUAAAUUAUACAGAAAAUAAAAAAAUGAGGUUGUUAGGAUUGUGUGUGGAAUAUUAGAAUUUUUAUUUGAUUGUUAGAAUUAUAUGGAUAGAUUAUUAAAAAAAUUUUGAUUAUUAGGAUUAUAUUGAUAUAUUANGUGGAAUAUUAGAAUUUUUAUUUGAUUGUUAGAAUUAUAUGGAUAGAUUAUUAAAAAAAUUUUGAUUAUUAGGAUUAUAUUGAUAUAUUAUUAGAAUUUUUAAAUUGUUAAGAUUAUAUACGAUAUUUGAUUAUUACGAUUGUAUGGAUAGAUUAUUAAGAUCUUUUUAAUUGUUAGGAUUGUAUGGAUUUAUUAUUAGAAUUUUCAGGUUGUUAAGAUUAUAUGUAAUUUAUUGAAAUAUUUAUAUGAUUGUUAGGAUUAUAGAAAAACAUAAUAAACAAGUAAAAGGGGGUGAAUGCAUGAUUCACCGUUUUUCUGUAAAAUUAGAAAAGCGGUGAAGGCGGUGAAUCAUAUAUUCACCGUCUUUAAGAUAUUAGUUUUUUAAAUAUAAUUUUGGUAAGAUUAUUUUACAAGUAAUAAAAUUUUAAAAGGUUAUUUUAUAAAAAAAGUCUCUUAAAAAUCGGCCAGGCCCAAAUAUUUAGAUUAUAUAAUACCGAUAUAUUUCUGAUUUUUAAAAUAUUGAUUGUAAUAUUUAGCAAUUUGUUUCAACAUUUUGUUGUUGGAAAAGAGCAUCACUCAUAGGUGAAAAAUAUUACUUACUGGUUUAGGUCGAUCUUAGAAGAUGACAAAUAUUGUAUCAAAUUAAAAAUCAAUGUAUAAGUUUAUCUCAAACUCUAAUGAUUAAUAUAUGCUCACACCCACCUUUAUUACUUGUUCGUAUUUCAUGGAAUCUACUUCAGUUCAACUGUCCUUAUGAUUCUUAUCUCCUGCUAAUUUUUGUUUUGUCUCCACUAGAAGUGAUUAUUUGGUAUGUCUAAUACAAAAGUAAAUGCACAAACUCUCCUUGUUAUAUAUAUAUAUAUAUAUAACAAGAAAUUUCUGAAUUUCUAUUGAUAGAUAAAUUCAAUGAACCUACUCACUAUCUAUAAAUAGUUUGAACAUGAUCAGAUUCAACAACACUCUCUCUCUUUCUAUAUAUAUAUAUAUAGAGUCCGGUUACGGUGCUUAUAAAAGCACAAAGCAUUUGGUGCUUGUAAAUUUUCUACCAUUAGAUCUAUGCAUUUGAUCAUUUUCAUCCGUUAAAUUAUACUAUUCAACCAACCACCCACUCAACCCUAGGGGGUCCACAUCAUCCUAACCGCACAUUCCUUAAUCCAAAGGUCGAAAACCUAUAAGCAUCAAUGACUUGGUACUUUUAAAAGUAUAGGAGCUCAAUUAUAUAUAUAUAUAUAUAUAUAAAAGGGAUUUCUUCAGCUGUUAACUUAAUUUGGUUGGAUUUGAUCCCUUUAACCAAACACAUUUUGGGUCACUAACAAUCAGCAUGCAUCCCUUUAACCAAACACAUUUUGGGUCCCUUUAAUUUUUUUUUUUUUUUUUUUUUUUUUUUUUUUUUAUCAAGGGGCCCAGGUUGCCCCACCCUUGUAGCCUAGUUCAUUUUUCCAAUGAAUGAAGCGGGUAGCGUGCUAUCUUUUUCUCAAAAAAAAAAAACAAUCAGCAUGCAGCAGAUUGGGAGGUUGGAGUCUUAUAACUGCUAAUUAGUGGACUAGUAUGUGGUUGCAGAGAAGCAAAAGAAUCUUUCAGAACAGGAGGAAGGUCUUAGCCAAUUUAUGUUCGAUAUAAAAAGCCUUACGCGAGAUUACGCGAUUGCUUGAAGGACCUCUUUUUUCUUUUUUCUUUUUUUUUCAAGACUCAGAUGUCUUACUCCUAUAGCUUAAUUAGUUUAUUUUCUUUAUAAAUGAAACAAGUAGCAUUGCUAUCAUUUCCUUAAAAAAAGACGAAAAAAAGUAAUUCGCAGCAUAUUAAACCCAACAUGCUUCAGAAUAUUAUCCCAAGGAGUUGCUAUCUAGAGAAGGUAGUAUUUAUUGUCAACGUUUACUACAUCAAGUCAAUAAGAUAGAAAUAGAUUAUUAUUAUUGGCAUUAUUUGUCAACAUAUGCCAUUUCACAUUACCUAACUAUAAGGAAAGAUUACAUAUGUACACACAGAUAAGGAAGAGGGGCCCGUUGAGUCAAUUAUUGUUAUUACUGGGGUAAAUUGCACAUUUGAUCCUCGAACUAUGAGUCGGGUGAUACUUUGUUUUUCAAAUUUUUUAAUUUGUUAUAAUUUUCGAUUCGAACUUUCAAAAUUAUUACAAUCAAGUUUCACAACCUAAUUUAAUUGACUAUAUAUUUACAUAUUAUUAAUGUAGAAGUGAUGCAGCAGUAUUGCGAUUGGUGAUGCGCCAAUAACGACGAUGUUAUAUCACUUUUGCAUCAGCUUAAUUGCAAUUUACAUUUUUGGUCCUUAAAUUUAAAUUUAUUGUAAUUUAUGGCUGGAACUUUAAAAUUGUAAGAUUGUAUGCAAAUUAACAGAUGGAAUUGGGGUGCAGAUUUACACAUUGAACCUGGUACAAGAUACAAUUUGCUCGCAAAUAAUCAACUGUUGCUAAUGGUGAAAAUAUACGGAGACCCCUCUACUCUAGGCGAUUUUGGAACUAAUCCCACAACCAAUUUUUUUAUAUUUAGAUCUCUUAAUUUUUGAAGUUUAAAUAAAUUCAUAGUCAACUUAAACAUUAUCAAAUUUUACAACCUUAUUGGUCACAAAUUCUUAAUUGGUCUGGUUUAAUAAGCUAAAAGUGAUUGUAGUCAUUUUAUUUGAUGAAAUGACCAAAAAAAGGGACAAAAUUCACAAUUAUUUUUACUUGAUAAAACUGUGUAUUUAUUACCAAUUAAUAACUAAUGAAAUUCUCAUGCUCUAUAGGAAAGAAAAAAAUAUAAGGAUUAAUUCGUACAAGUGCAGGGUAAAGUCAUUAAUUUCAAUGAAUGUUCAAUUUAAUAAAUAUAAUAUAUGUUAAGUUAAAAUAGUUAAAAAUUAUAGAAAGUUAAUAAAAAAUUAAAAAUUGAGGGUUCUGAUUGAAACUCACAUAUAGUUUUUUUUUUUUUUUUUUUUUUUUUUUUUUUNUAGUUUGAUUGUAUGUGUAAAAUUAAUGAAUCUUAUUAGAAUAAUUACAUUGUUUUUUUUUUUUUGAGAAAUAGAAAUAGGUUGUAUGCUAUCCGCUUCGUUUAUUUUAUUUAGAAAUAAAUUUAGCUGGAAAUGUGAAUCAAUUAAGAUUCGAGCUUGAGAUCUCGGGUACCAACCACCAAAUUCUUUGCCACAUGCGUUAGGAACGGUCGAUGAAACGCACAUAUAGUUGAACGGGUAUUGGUGCAUCUCAAUUGAGGUAUAAAUAUCUCUUAGAAAAGGACAUACAGCAAUUAGUUGAACUAAUAAUAAUUGUAUCCUAAUUAGAAAUGUCAACGGCCCUGAUGCAGCUAUUUGCUGUUAUUAAUUACCAAAUGAACAUUAAGCACUGAAGCAAAACUCUUAUUGUUAUUAUUUUUUGGUAGUUGAAUAGAUUGUAAACAAUGGCAAGUUGUGCAUCUCUUCUCGACCAUGCCAAUGAUAGAUGCCUCACAUUUUCGUCUAAUGUAAGAACAAUUAAUGCAUCCGGUCACAAUUCUAUAUUUUUAAUACUUGAAAAUUUAAAAAAUUAUUUCAAUCCUUGAAUGGAUGAGCUGUAAUUAUUUAAAAUUUUCACAUUUUAUAAUAAUAUAUAUUUUUGUUAAAAAAAGUUGACAAUCUAAAAGACUUUGGAUUAAGAUGUGUAUAAUAUGCACCCUCUUUUGAGGUACAUAUAUAAAGAGCAUUGCUCCCAAAAAAGAAAAAAAAAAUCUGCAAAAUGAUUUUUGAAAAAAGAAAAUAUUAAUAAAAUAAGUGGGUGCUAUUUAGGCCGUGAAAAGAAAGUCUACAGGGGAAGGUGAGCCGUAGCAUUCUUCACAAAUUAUUAUUAUUAUUAUUAUUUUUGAAAAAUAGAUAGCAAGCUAUCUGCUUUAUUUAUUAGAAAAAUAAGCUAGACUUACAUAAUGAAGGCAGUCGGGCCCUCCGAAGAAAGAAAAAGAAGAAUAAAAAACAGAUGGUUAGAAAUAGGACGAGAAAACGGAAAAAAAAAAAGAAGAAAGAAAGAGAGGAACAAAACAAAAAAACUUUAUUAUUAUUAGUAUUAUUUUUUUAGAGAGAUAGAUAUAUAUAUAUUAUAUAUGUUAUUCAAUUCGUUUAUUUUAUUUAAAAAUAAAUUUAAUUAAAAAUAUAAAUUAAUUAAAAUUUGAAUUUAGGAUCUGAAUCUUUUGGGCUUCUGCGUCAGCGACAGUCGGUCAUUGGUCAAUAAUUAUUCGUAAACGAAAAUUGGCGCUGCUCCCGUACUUGUUUGGAGGCGGCAGCUAGCUAGGUGGCUGUCUGUUCUGAGCUUGCUGGCGCGAGAAUGGUGGCGGUAGAAUCGAUCGUAUUAGCAGCACUGGGAUGGGUGGCAUCUCCGCUGAUGACGAAGCUGCUCAACGAAGGCUUCGCGAGCGUAGGCGUCGACGCGGAGAGAAAGCUGGAAGAGAUGGAGAAAUACAUCGUCCCGGUGAUGAAAGCGGUGACCGAGGAAGCCGAAGGCAGCCCGCACCGGAGUGAGGUGGAGGGCUGGCUGCUGAGGAUGAAGGACGCAUACGAGGACGCGGAGGACGCGCUGGACCUCCUCCGCUACCACCGCCUCAGACGCGAGGCGGAGGCAGCAAGCAGUAGCACUAGGAGGCGAAUUUAUCAGCUACGCUCUUCUUUUCAAGAAUCAAGACGCAUGAGAUGGGUUGUGCCCGUCUUCGAAGGCGGUCGGGAUAUGCUGUCACCUCAAAAGAUCAAGCUGAAGCACAGGCUGAACAAGCUUGAGAAGAUCGCCAACCAAGUCGAGAAACUCCGCGCGCAGUUAGGCGCCCAGCCUGAUCGGACUGUGGCGCCUGACAGCAGGCGGACCAUCUCGUUGCCCCCGCAAAAAGUGUUCGGCCGCGACGAAGAUCGCAAAGAAAUCAUUCGGCUUUUGAAAAUAGAACCUGCAGCAGGCAUUCCUAUAAUUGCAAUAGUCGGUCGCCCGGGGGUUGGGAAGACUACUCUUGCACAGUACGUCUGCGAGCAGCUGAGGAGCGAAUUAGCAGGCGACGGCAGACAUUUCGAUCUCAUCGUGUGGGUCCACGCAUCUCGCAAUCUCGACACAUCUGAAAUUAUGAAAAAAAUCAUACAACAAGCUUCUACUGCGAGCGAGCCUCAAGAUCCCGUCAAUCCUGAUGAUGUGCCCGGAAUGAUCCACGCCUAUCUUCGCAAUCUCGACACUAUGGUCGUGGGCGACCUUGACUGGCCCGAAGAGCUACGACUGAAGAUGAGCACAAAGCUGAACUCGAAGAUGUUCCUGCUCGUGAUCGAUGAUGUUUGGUGCGACGGGGAAGACCACAAAAAUAAUUGGGAUGCACUAUUCAGAUGUUUAAGCAGAUGUUGUUGUUUGCUGGGGAGCAAGAUUUUAGUUACGUCUCAAACGGACGAUGCGCCGAGAAAGAUUGGUGCUGCCGGGGAAAACAUUUACCGUUUGGAGGAGUUAAGGGAGGAUGGCUUCUUGGAUCUUUUCAUUCACUACGCAUUGCCGAGCAGGGGAAUGGAUUCUUCCGUUCGAGAAGAUUUAGAAGAGAAAUGCAGGACGAUCGCUAAGAAGUUGAACAAGGACGCCACGGCGGCCGAGAUUGUUGGCGAGACGAUCGGUAUGAAGGCGGCCGAGCUCCUUCGUUCGCGGGAUUAUUUGCGUAAAUACUUGCGAACGAUUGCAGAGAAGGACUGGUCCGACAGCCAAACCAGAGCGCUGAUGUGGAGCUAUCAGCAUAUGCCAGCACAUCUUCAGCUUUGUUUCUCGUACUGCAGCCUGUAUCCUAAAGGCUACAAGUUCAAAGCUCUAGAGCUGGUUCAGCUCUGGAUGGCGCAAGGUUUUAUCAAGCCGGAUGAUCAGAAUGAGAGGAUGGAGGAUGUCGGCAACGAUUACCUUGAAAAGCUGGUGUCCCGGUUCUACAUUCAUCAGUCUCAUGACGGCUACUACACGUUGCACGAGUUACUCUACAGUCUAGCAACAAAGGUUUCCAGCGGCGUCUGUCUUCGAAUGGAAGGUAAGAAAGAAAAGAUCCCCUCAACUAUUCGCCAUCUGCGCAUACCGGCUGACAAACUGAACGAGAAUAAGGAGGAAAUCUGCAAACUGAAGAAACUGCGCACCCUAAUCGUCGCGAAAGGAGAAAGCGCCCCCUCAGAAGAAGAAAACAUUGCGACCGGCGUCUUCAACAGCUUACAAAAAUUGCGCGUGCUGGUUUUGGAGUUGAACCUAGAAAAUUUGGCAGAAUUUAUUGGUGAAAUGAAGCACCUUCGCGUCCUACAAGUUUCAGGUACUAGCGAGUUCGUGCUGCUGGAGUCGGUGAGCACUCUUUUUCAGCUAGAAGUGUUGGAAGUAGAAAACGCUAGCUCGCCUCCUAAAUUCCUCAACAACUUGGUCAGCUUGAGGUAUCUUCGGCCUCCUGGCAUAGCCGAUAUCGGCAAGUUAACUUCCUUGCAAGGCCUUGAAUAUUUUCAGGUGAGAAAGGAAAGAGGAUGUGAGCUGGAGCAACUACAGAACCUGAACGAACUCCGGGGAUGCUUGCGCAUUGAUAAUCUUGAGAAUGUUGAGAGCAAGGAAAGUGCCAUCGCAGCCAACUUGAAAGAAAAGAAGCAUCUCGAUACGCUCCAGUUGGUAUGGCGCGACGGUGCGGACAGUGUAAAUUCUACUAUGGAUGCUGAAAUUCUCGAGGGUCUCCAAUUGCCUCCCAAUCUAACCAGCCUUCAUCUAGAUGGAUAUCGAGGAGGACGGCUGUGGCCAUCAUGGCCCGAGAAUCAAACAUCCAAUGUUGAAGUACUGGCGCUGAGGAGGUGUGGAAUGCUCGAAGAGCUCCCGCCAAUGGACCAGCUUUACCCUUCUUGCAGAUCGCUUGAGCUCUCGCAUCUUUCUAGGCUUAAAGCAUUACACACCCUUCCUCCGAGGCUUCGAAAAAUCGCAAUAUUUCGUGCGCCAUUUCUCACCUUCGUAACAAAGGAAGACCUGCAAAUGAGGCCGGCCGACAAGAGAUCCAUAAUAAAGGACACGAGGAAAAGGAUGCCGAAAUGGUUCCCACACCAACAUCAAGAGUCUUUAGUCCGCAAUGAAAGAGAAAUGAGGAAUUUCAUAGCCGCAACGAAUGGCUCCGACAGUAAUGAAGCUAGCUCUCGAAAGCAUGAUGAGAGGGUGCCUGCCGCCGACGCAGAUAUUACCGCUGUCCGGGAGAGAUGGUUGGAGAUGCACGAGCGAAAGAUGGAAUUGAUUUACAGCAGACGAAAUGAGGCCAAAUUGCUUCUGCCCUCUACCCUCACUAUGCUCUGGCUUGAGGGAUGCAAUAUUACUAACCACGCAUUGUCGGCAUGCCUACAAACUCUAACCUCACUCACCCGCCUGUCGCUCGUAGAUAUCAGAACGAUAACCCGUCUACCGUCUGUGGAUGCCGUUGCCAAGUUAAAAGCACUCCAAACUUUACGUCUGAGAGAUUGCUGGGCUCUCACUUCCCUGGGUGGUAUAAGAUCCCUCCCCCGUCUCGAAGAUCUCAUUCUAAUCGGAUGCCCCUGCUUGGCCGGUGAAACUGCUUCGCUGCCGUCCUCGUUGCGGUCUAUCCAUUCCGAGUCUUGUGCAAAUGUAGAUGCCAUCCUCACAAAUGCAGAUUUGCCACGCCUAUCUCGUCUUAUGAUUACUCGAUGUCGUAUGCGAGCAGCGUUGUUAAAGUUUGGCAACCUCCGAUCUCUUCGCUCCUUGAUUAUUGAGCAUUGUCCUGGGCUCUCAUCGCUGGCGGAUGUGCAGAAACUACGCUCUCUAAAAUUUCUCAUUCUGCAUAAUUGCUCAAAUCUACAGGAAGUGAUGAAUUUGCCCGGGUCACUCAAAAGUUUAGGAAUACGCGGAUGUCCGAUUUUAGAGGCACAAUCCGUAGACGUCGACCCCCGUUCGCGCGUGCGUAUGCUUGGCGGCAUCCCUGUAGAAGACAACUUCGAAACAUGCUCUGUAAUGUAGAAAAAGAGGUACGUAUCGCCUUACUGCUCUUACAAAUUGGCGAACUUUAAAUUCCUGAUCUUUUAUUCUUUUUUCCGCCCCAAUAGUGCAAGGGUUAAUCAGUCUCUUGAUGAAUCAGCGAAGAUCUUGAAGUACUUCAAACUUUCCUACACCUUGCCCGUGUGUUUUGAGAUUAGAUUUAAAAUGAUGAACCGACCUAGUUUUAGAUUGAAAUACUUUAUAAUCACUCGUCUAUCUACCGAAGAUAAUAAUAUUAAUCUCUGUAUUAAGUGGAUUCAUUUUGCUUCUGUACUCAUCAUGCACUUCUAUGUAAGCUACUCUUUCAAAAUUCUCUCUUUCAGGCCAUCAAAUGUAGAAUCAGUAUUUAAGUGCUUGCAUAUAAUUUGGUUCUAGGAUUGGGGUUUAUAUUGCCGGCGUUAUGAUACAAUCCUACAGUCCUAUUCUCUAAUAAUAGUUGUCCUUUUCGUAUCUUAAUGCUAAAUCAACACAACAUGGUUCAGAUGCAUUACUUACCUUACUUUAAUUGCUGCAGAUUCAAAAGUGUAGCCAAAUAGUAUUUCAUAUCAGUUUUCUUGCAGUAAUUUUCUAUGAAUUCCGAAAUUCGAAGGAUAAGAUUCAUGAUCUUGCAAUUCAAAUUGUAUCCUUCUAAUCUAUUUGAAGGUUAUGUAUCGCUUUAUUUUUCAUUGUGCUCACUUUUUAGUGUUCUAAUUCUGUACGUGCUUCACCAUCUUUUUGCAGACAACUGAUGGGCAUUAGCUUCUGAAGAUUGGAAAAAAAAGAGGAGUUUUGUUAAUAGGUAUGUAUAUUACUAUCCCGUGGAUUGUUAGGGGAAAAAAAAAAAGGUUUGUUAAUGGGUUUGUAUAUUACUAUUGUGUGGAUUGUUAAUUGGUGUUGUCAAAGAAUAGGUUUGACCAUCCCAAGAAAAAAAAACCAAAAACAAAAACAAGAGUGAAAAAACCAAAAAAAAAGGUGUGCAUGGUGUGCAUUGAUUGUUGUCAUACAAUGUAGUAUGUUUUUACUUUUUUUUGUUUGAGUGUAUUAUGUGUUGUAAACCUAGAAUUAUUGUCGUGUUAGUAUGCGAGUGUUUUAAUUUUGUUGUAGACUUGGUUCAGUUUUUCGAACAAAAAAAAAGGAUGUGAAUGGUGUGCAUUGUGGUCAUAAAAUGUGUUAUGUCUUCAUCUUUUUCUGUCUUAAUGUGUUAUGUGUUUUAAAGACUCUGUAAACCUGAACUUUGUGUCAUGUUUGUAUGUGAAUUUGGGUGUUUUAAUUUUGUUCUCGUAGUGCCUCUCGUCAAUUGUGGUGAAUGUAUAGAGAAUACUAUACCCUACUUAUGUUGAUACUGCCUAUCUUUUACAUUUUGAUAGUAUUGCAACAAAGGAAACCUUGAUCAAGGGAGAUGUUGCACCAAAUGUCUAGUGUGAACAAACAGAUUAACAUAUUCUGUGUAUUUUUACCGGAUACUUCUAAAGAUCUUCAUAAACAAAAAAAUAACUGAUAUAUGUGCAUUCUAACAUUGUAUCGUGCAAAUUAUACGGUACUAUAUUAACUAGUAUUUGACCCGUACGUUGCACGGCUAAUGUAAUAAUAUAAAGUAAUAAAAAUUAUCAUGUGGUAAUGUUAGAUGUGACUCGAAAUUGAUAUUCGACUCAAGUUCGAGUUUUCGACUUGCCAAUAGUUUCGCGGUACGACCAAAUUGGAAAAGAAAAUUAUGGAGGAAAAAUAAAUAACUGUGGUGGGUAGCGGAGGGCUCGGGCCUGUCGGCCCGAACCCAUUGUGAGUUUUCUUUUCGUUUUGGACUUAGAGGCGUGAGAUCGUGGUUGGUUGUAAUCAUCAGAACAUUGUAUUUCCUUUUCGUUUCGAUAGUGCUGUUCUCUCCUCCCUCGCCCGUGGUUUUUUCCUGCAAACGGUUUUCACCGUAAACUGUGUGUUCUUUCAUUUCUGCUUGUGGUUUGAUUAUUUUUUGUAUUCGUCAUUUUGUUUUCGUUUGUGCGUUUGUAAUAAAAAAAAAAGCAUCCUAACUAAUAUUAUAUUUUUUUAACAAAUAAACAAAUAUAUCGUCAAUCUUAAUCAUAGUACAUACUGAAAUACAAAAGUUGGAAAAAUAAAAUUAUGGACCAAAGUAAUACUAAGGUAAAGAACAAAAUUCAACUAUGUAUGUUUAAUCAACUGAAAUUCACAUUUGCAAUGUUGCAAGUUUCAAUUCAAGAAUAUUCAUACGUAAAUACUAAAAAUUAAUUAUCUUCAAGUCAAUGUAAGCAACGAAAUAUCACAAUUGACAACAAAGAAAAACUUAGUAGUGAUAGCAGGGACUCAUGUUGCAUGAAAAUGUAUGUUCAAUUUGAAAAUAACAGUCGUAUUUUAUAUUUUGAUCAGAAAGAACCAAUUCUAGGCUAUUCACCACAUCUGGACGAUAAAAUUCAGGCAUAAUAUAUAGACAAAUCACUCUGACUUUGAUCUUUUAUUUGUCUCCAAGAGGGGUGAUGUCCUUUAUAGAAUCAAACUCAGGUGCCAUAUCCUGAGAAUAAUAAGACAUUCAAGGCAAAAAGUUAGUACUUACUUCGUAUUUAAGUAAUAAAAUGAAAACAAUAUGUUCUAUUUUAAAACAUCAAUAUCUAAGAAUGAAGAAAAACUGGUUAAUAGAUACUUAACUGAAAUAUGCUAAAUAAUAUUAAAACACGGGACCUUUAGUGUGUGUGUGUAUAUAUAUAUAUAUAUAUAUACAUGCACACUAAUUUGUUAGAAAAGAAAAAAAUCUUAACAGACGUUAGAUACAUAAUUUAAUUUUUUUUAAAGAACUACAAACAUAAUAAAUAACAAAAAGGUAAUUAGCCCUAUAUUAGAUUAUGAAAAUUGUUAAAUACGCUAAACAUAAAGGUUGCCAUAAUUCAAUUAUAUGAAACAACUUAGAAUUCUCCAAACUUGUUUACAAACCUUAAAAAGGCUCAUAAUAAUCAUCUUGUAUGAGAAUAAAAUAUUACUCUGCGGACAAAUUGCACAUACAACAGCUGGAUUUAUUUUGAUAAUUUACCUUACGUAGCACCAAUUCUAUUUUUAACCACCUAUUUGCUAUAUAUGAGUUUGAUAUCUGAAUAUUGAAAAUGUUUGAAAAAUGGUAAACUUUAGUAUACAAUAAAUUGAAUAGAAUAAAAUGACAUUAAUGAUAAUGUUUGAAAAAUGGGCAAAAUAUAGUAUUUCCUAAUAAAAUUCUGUGACGUCCACAUAUCAUUUCAUUUCAUUUAUAGUAAUAAUUUGUUCUACUUGAAAAAUGAAUAAAAUUUGGAACUAUAAAACAACAAAUAUAAUUAUUGCAACAAAUCAGUUUUCAAGCCUCUAUUUAUAUAGCAAAUUAAAAAUCUAAUAUAGAAAUGUAAAGAGUUUGAUAUUAUAUUGAAAAUGAUGAGAUUUUUAAAUAUUAAUAAUUACCUUACGUACCACCAAUUCUAUUUUUAACCAUCUAUUUGCUAUAUAUGAGUUUAACCAAUUCUAUUUUUAACCAUCUAUUUGGUAUAUAUGAGUUUGACAUCUGAAUAUAGAAAAUGUUUGAAAAAUGGUAACCUUUAAUAUAUAAUAAAUUGAAUAGAAUAAAAUGAUAUGAAUGGUAACGUUUAAAAAAUGGGCAAAACAUAGUAUUUCCUAAUAAAAUUCUGUGGCCACCACAUGUUAUUUUAUUUUAUUUAUAGUAAAUAGUUCUACUUGAAAAUGAAUAAAAUUUAGAACCAUAAAACAACAAAAUAAUUAUUACAACAAAUCAAUUUCCAAGUCUUUAUUUAUGAUAGCAAAUUAAAAAUCUGAUAGUAUAAGAAUGCAAAGAGUUUGAUAUUAUAUUGAAAAUAAUGAAAUUUUUAAAUAUUGAUAAUUUACCUUACGUACCCCCAAUUUUAUUUUUAACUAUCUAUUUGCUAUAUAUAUGAGUUUAUCAUGCGUCAAGCAUACAAGAAAACACGUGUCAGUUUUACACCAAGAAUUCUACUUUAGUAUAUAGUAUAUAAUAUAUAAUAUAUAAUAAUAAAUAGAUGCACCAGCAUACUGUGUGUCAUAUGCAAAUUGACUUGUACAGUACAAACUAACAAAUAAUGAGGUAUCUGAAGUAUUACUCUAUACUAUUGAAGGCCCAACGUACUCUACAAAAAUUUAACAGCAAUAAAAAUUUAAUUAGCUUUUAUAUUUUUUAAAAAAUUUUAUUGGUUGCCAUUAAAUUGAUAAUUAAAAUUGGUAUAUGUGACAUGUCAGAAUUUUGCUGAAGCUGAUUAACUUAAGUAAGUUUAUAGCUCAUCAUAUAUAUACUAGUGAAGAGACUCGCGCUUUGCAGCGGAUAAAAACCCUAAUAGUAAUUAAUAAUAAUAAAAUAUUAAAUAUUCUCUUGUGCCUCUCAUUUGGUAUAUCUACCGAAAAUAUCUCACUGUAAGCUGCAGAUAUGAACCCGAUGAUGCCUUCUCCGGCGAUGGUGAUAGUGACGGCGACGACGAUCUCUCCGAUAGCGGCGGAAGAAGGAAUUGGGCACACAUUAGUGAGAGAGAGAGGGAGUGAGGGAAGGAGGCGAUGGUGUAUAGCUAAAGAUGAGAAAUAAAGAAUUGAUGAACAAAUCGAAGAUAAAGGAUUGAAAGUUCAGUGGAAGGAGGAAAAUGGGCCAUGAUGAAUAAUUGGAGAUAGAGGUUACGAUCGUAGAUAGUAAUAGGACCAUUUAAAUAUAUUAAUUGAAAGUUUGGUAGUGGAACCAUUUACAUUAAUUGAAAAUAUAGUGGAGGGAAGGUAGUGGGACCAUUUAAAUGUACUAAUUGAAAGUUUGAUUAAUGAGACCGUUAAAAUGUAUAUUGAAAAUUUAGUGAACAUGAUGAAUAAUUGGAUAUAGAGAGAUUAGGAUCGUAGAUAGUAGUAGGACCAUUUAAAUAUACUAAUUGAAAGUUUGGUAGUGAAACAAUUUAUAUUAAUUGAAAAUAUAGUGGAGGGAAGGUAAUGAGACCAUUUAAAUGCACUAAUUGAAAGUUUGUUUAAUGGGACCAUUAAAAUGCAUAUUGAAAAUUUAGUGAUGGAAUGAAGCAGGUAGCUUGCUACCUAGUUCUCAAAAAAAAAAAAAAUGUAGUGAUGGAAAGAAGAAGAGUUACAUUAGUGAGGGUGAAGAAAAACUUGCCACGUGGCAACAAAUAUUGAGGAUUCAUAUAGUUUAAUAGAUGUGUAUUAAUUCAUCAGAAAAUUAUUCAGCUAUUAAAAUAAUUAAGGAGAUUACUAAAAGUAAUAGUAGGAUGAGAUGGAGUAUAGCUCUUAAAAACCGGCCCUGCCCAAGUAUUUAGACUCUAUGUACCAAUAUAUUUCUCAUUUACAAAAUAUUGGUUGUAACACUGACUGUCCCUAGCGUAAAUGAUAAAAGGCUUGGUGGUUGGUAUCCGAGAUUUCAAGUUUGAAUUAUUUUUGUAUAAAAUAAACGAAGCGGAUAGCUUGCUACCUAUCUCUCAAAAAAAAUAUAUAUAUAUUAAUUGUAAAAUUUAUUUUAUAUUUUAGUAAUUUGUUUCAGCAUUUCGCUCGUGGAAAAGAGCAAAACUCAUAGGUGAAAAAUAUUACUUACUGGUUUAAGUCUUAGAAGAUGACAACCUUAUAUCAAAUUAAAAAUAAAUUUAAAGUUUAUCUCAAACUCCAAUGAUUAACAUAUGUUCAACUGUUCUUGUGAUUUUUAUCUUUUGCUAAUUUUAAUUUAUUCUCCACUGGAAAGUGAUUAUUUGGUAGGCUUAGUACAAAAGGAGAUGCACAAAACUCUAUAUAACAAAAAAGAAAUUUAAAUUUCUAUUGAUAGAUAAAUUCAAUGAACCUAUUUACUAUUCAUAGCUUGAAGAUGAUCAGAUUCAACGAACCUCAUAUAUUAUGUUGUAGGUGAAUGAUGCAUUCCAACCAUUUCAGGAGCAAAAGUUAUAAUCAAAAUUACUCAGGAUAAAAAUUAUGUGAGACUGAUUUGAGACCAGGAUAUUAUCUGUAUACGCGAUACAAAUUGGAAUUUUCAAAUCAUUGAAAUAACACAAAUUGAGGACUCAAAUCUUUGAAAAUUUCAAAUGGUACGACUACAUGCAAAUUAACUGAGGUCAAUGUAAAUUAUAAAUUUAAAAAUAAUUACAAAUUUUUAUUAUUUAAAAAUAAAUAAAUGGGCCACCAUUCCAGAUGAACCAUACAGUGCGCAAAUUAUUCUAGAAGGCCACUGGUUUUGUGUAAUUUGAUUUAUCAAUGAACUGUAGAAAUAUAUUACUAUUUUUUAUUUUCUUAAAUAUAAAUUUUAUAAAAUUUGAUACAUCAAUGAAAAUAUGUCAUGAUUAAUUACCUUGUAAUGCAUUCUGAUUGGGUGAUGCAUAAAAAUUUGCUUAAAUUAGAUUGCAAAUAGAAAAGAAAAUAAAUUUGACAACUAAUAUUAUACUUAUUAAAUUUGAUAAAAUUGUUCGGAUUAAUUACCUUGUAAUUUUAUCAAAUUACAAGGUGAAUUACCUUGCAAUCUAUUCGGAUUAAUUACCUUGCAAUCGAUUUUAUCAAAUUUGAUAAAAGAAAAUUUUACCUUGCAAUUUUAUUUACCUUUCAAAAUAAAUUAGAUUAAUUAAUAAUUUGACAACUAAUAUAAUACUUAUUAAAUUUGAUAAAAUUAAAUAACUAAACCAAGUGUAGAGAUUCAAAAAAAAAAGGCUAAAUUACAUAAACCUCAUUGUAAAUACCCGCUUUUUACUUUUUCUUUUUAAUUUUCAAAAAUCUAUAUUUUGCUUUCUUAAAAUUUCAAAAACAUUUUUAAAGAGUACGGCGUUAAUGGAGAGGGCAAAAUGAUUGAAUUACCCUUUUUUUUCAAUAAAAAAAUAUUUUUAAAAAUUUUUCUCUCAUCUUGAACGAUAUUUUCGAUAUAAAUUAAAAAAGGACGGAAUAGUAAUGUUAACCUACCGAGGGGAGGGGGGCUAAAUACAACAACUUUAAAUAUUUAGAAGGUAAAAUGUAGGUUUUUGAAAGUUAAGAAAGGAAAGUGAAAAGAACGGAUAUUUAUAAUGAGGUUUUUUUGUUAAUUUAGUCUAAAAAAUAAAGAAAAAAUUUAAGGGCCUGGAAUAAAAAUGUAGUUAGUAGGCUAAUUUCGAAAAGCUAAUAGUUGAGGGGGUCCCCUUGCAUUUUUAGCCCGGCAAGACCGCAAGAGCUUAGUUUUCGCCGCGCGCGCAUCGAACCGUCCCCAAGUUUAGGUCCGUCGCUCCGGCUCUUUCUUAAUUCUUUUGCUCCAGCAGGAAUCUCCUCUCAGCCUGCCUGCCGGCAACUCCAUCCGUUCUGCGGUCGGCGCAGGCGAGAAUGCCGGCGGCAGAAUUGAUCGGCUUGGCAGCACUGGGAUGGGUGGCAUCUCCCGCCGUGGCGAAGCUGCUCAGCGAAGGCUUCACCAGCCUGGGCAUGAUGAUGAUCAACACGGAGAAAAGGCUGGCCAAGCUGGAGUCCACCAUAUUCCCGGUGUUCGAGGUCGUGCUCGACGCCGCGGAGCGGAGCCCGCACCGAUCCAAGGUCAUGAAGUGGCUGCGCAGACUCAAAUCCGCUUACCACGACGCCGAGGACGCGCUGGACCUCCUCGACUACCAACGCCUCAAGCGCAAGGCCGCCGCCGCAAGCAGCCGUCGAAGGCGAAGAAGCAUUAUUACUAUUGCUCGGGUGCGCUCGCUCUUCCGUCCUUUAUUGAGAGGCAGUCGGAAUGUGCUAUCAUCUCGAAAGAUUAAGCUGAUGCGCAGGCUGAGCAAGCUGGAAGCGAUCGCCGGCGAAGCCGAGAAGCUCCGCGAUCUGCUAGGCGUGCAGCCUGUUCAGACGGCAGCGCGCGACGGCCGGCAGACCAUCUCGCUGCCUCCGCGCGGGGUGUUCGGUCGCGACAGCGAUUGCGAAGCGAUCAUCCGGCUUUUGGAAACGAAGCACCGGCAGGAGGGCGUGCCUAUAAUCCCCAUCGUCGGUCGCCCGGGGGUCGGAAAGACUACCCUCGCGCAGUACGUCUGCGAGCGGCUGACGAGCGAAUUCGGUAACAAGCAUUUCGAUCUUGUCGUUUGGGUCUACGCAUCUCGGAAUUUCAAAGCGUCCGAAAUUAUGAAAAACAUCAUACAACAAGCCUCUGCCGCAAGUGAGCCUCAGAGUCCGGUUAAUCCGAACGAUCUGCCCGCGGUGAUCCGCGCCCAUCUUCGUAACCUCGACAUGAUGGCCGUGGACAACAUCGACAGCGAUGAAGUGCUGCAGCGAAAAAUGGACGAAAAGUUGAACUCGAAGAAGUUCCUGCUUGUGAUAGACGAUGUUUGGUGCGACGGAGAAGACCACGCGCAUAAUUGGGACACUCUGCUCAGAUGUUUGAGCAAAUGUUCGCCCGGGAGCAAGAUUUUAGUUACAUCUCAAACAAACGAUGCGCCGAGAAAGAUGGGCGCCGCUGCGGAGAACAUUUAUGUUCUCGGAGAGUUAGAGGAGGACGACUUUUUGGAUCUUUUCAUUCACCAUGCGUUGAACGGCGAGGGGAUCGAUCCUUGCGUGCGAGAAGAUUUGGAAAAGAUAGGCAAGACGAUCGCCAGGAGGUUGGAUAGAGAUCCUACGGCCGCGAAGAUAGUCGGCCUCUGCCUACAAGACAAGCUGCAGGUGAGAUAUUGGACAGAAACUGCAGAGAAGGACUGGUCCGACGACAAAACCAAAGCAUUGAUGUGGAGUUAUCAGCAUUUGCCCGCACAUCUGCAGCGCUGCUUCGCGUACUUAAACCUGUAUCCUAAAGGCUACAAGUUCAAAGAUUUAGAAGUCUUUCAGUUCUGGAUGGCGCAGGGUUUCAUCAAGCCGGCGGAGCAGGAUGCGAGGAUGGAGGAUGUGGGCAGCCGAUACCUGAAAGAGCUGGUCUCCAGAUUCUACGUUCAGUCUCACGGCAGCUACUAUACGUUGCACGAGUUACUCUAUGAUCUAGCCGAAAAGGUUACUUGCGACGAUUGUCUUAAAAUAGAAGGUAAUCAUCAAAAGAAGAUCCCCGCAACUAUACGCCAUCUGUGCGUACCGGCUAGCAAACUGAAAAUCAAUCAGGAGGAGAUUUGCAAACUAAAGAAACUGCGCACCCUGAUCGUCACAAGCGGAGAAGAAAGCAUCGCCUCAAAAGGAAAGGUUGCGACCGGCAUCUUCAAGAGCUUGAAAAGAUUGCGUGUGCUGGUUUUGGAGUUGAAUCUAGAAAAUUUGGCAGAAUUUAUUAGUGAACUGAAGCACCUUCGCAUCCUGCAAGUUCCAGAUAUUAGCAAGUUUGUGUUGCCAAAGUCGGCGUGCGCUCUUUACCAGUUGCAGGUGUUAAGGAUAAAAAGCGCGAGGUCGAUUCCUAAAUGCCUUGAUAACUUCGUCAGCUUGAGGUAUCUAGAGCCUCCCGACGUUCCCGAUAUCGGCAAGUUAACUUCCUUGCAAGGCCUAGAAAUAUUUCAGGUGAGAAAGGAAAAAGGAUACGAACUGGCGCAGUUGCAGAACUUGAAUGAACUUCGAGGACGCUUGCGCAUUGAUAGUCUUGAGAAUGUUGAGAGCAAGGAGAGCGCCAUUGCAGCCAAUUUGAAAGAAAAGAAGUAUCUUGAUAUGCUCCAGUUGGUAUGGCGCGACGGUGAGGAUAAUGUAAACUCUAAUUUGGAUGUCGAAAUCCUUGAAGGUCUCCAGUUGCCCCCCAAUCUUACCAGCCUGAUUUUAGAUGGGUAUCGGGGACGGUCGUGUCCGUCUUGGCCCGAACAUCAAACAUCCGAUAUUCAAGAACUCACGCUGGAGCGGUGUAGAAUGCUCGAAGAGCUCCCGCCGAUGGAACAGCUUUACCCUUCUUGCAGAUCACUUGAGCUUUGCAAUCUUUCUAAACUUAAAGCAUUACACACCCUUCCCCCGAGCCUUAGAAAACUCACAAUACUUAUUACUCCAGUCCUCACCUUUGUAACAAAGGAAGACCUGCAGAUGAGCCAAGAGCUGAAGGCAUCCAUAAAGCAGGUCAUGAGAAACAGGAUGCAGAAAUGGUUCCCACGCCAAAAUCAGGAGGACUUAGUCCCCAAGGGAAGAGAAAUGAGGGAUUUCUUAGUCACAAUGAAUGGCUCCGACAAUGACGCUAGCUCUCCAGGACAUACUAGUAUACCUGCCGACAUAGAUAGAUGGUUGCGAUUACAUGAGCAAAAAAUGGAAUUAAUUUACAGCAGACGAAAUGAGGCCAAACUGCUUCUGCCCUCUACCCUCACCGAGCUCUGGCUUGAGGAAUGCAGUAUUACUAACCGCGCAUUGUCGGCGUGCCUACAAAACCUCACCUCUCUUACCACGCUGUCGUUAGGGGAUAUCAGAACGAUAACCCGCCUACCAUCUGCGGACGUACUUGGCAAGUUAACAUCACUCCAGGCUAUAAUUCUACGGGGGUGCUGGGCCGUCACUUCGCUGGGUGGUAUCAGAUCCCUUCCCCAUCUCAAAGAACUCUACCUAUCCGGAUGCCCCUGCUUGGAUAGUAAAGAUGCUUUCCUGCCGCCCUCGUUGGAGUCUACUGACUUUCUUUGUUGUGCAAAUGUAGAUGACAUCUUAGCAAAUGCAGAUUUGCCACGUCUAUCUCGUCUUACGAUUACUCAGUGUCAUAUGCGAACGGCAUCGUUACAGUUCGGCAACCUCCCAUCUCUUCACUCCUUGCGUGUUGGGCAUUGUCCUGGCCUCUCAUUCUCAGUGGAUGUGCAGAAACUGCACUCUCUAGAGUUUCUCAUUCUGCAGAACUGCACAAAUCUACAGGCAGUGAUGAAUUUACCCAAGUCACUCCGAAGUUUAGUAAUACGCGGGUGUCCGAUUUUAGAGAAGCAAUCUGUAAAGAGCGAUUCAGGCGUACAUAUGCUUGGCGGCGUCCCUGUAGAGCAGUAGAAGACAGCUUCCCUACAUGUUUCUGGGAUGUAGAACAGACUUGCGUAUCGUAUCGCCUUCCGGUUCUUACGAAUUUGCUUGUCCAUUUAAGACAAAGCUUCCAAUCCCUGAUCUUCUUAUUCUUUUUUUCCUACUUAAAGUGCAAAUUUUAGUCACAGCCUCUUGACGAAUCAGCAAAGAUCAUGAAGCUCUUCAAACUUUUCUACAUUUUGCCUGUGUUUUUGAUAUUAGGUUUAAAAUGUUGAACUGUUUUUGUAAGCUACUCAUUUAAUUUUCUUCUUUGUUGGUUUCCAGUCAUUGCGUGUAUAAUUUGGUUCUAUGACUGGAGCUUUAGAUUGUUGGUGUUAUGAUGCAAUACCUACUGUUCUAUUCUAUAAUCGCUGUCCUUUUCGAAUCUUUAUGCUAAAUCAACAUAAUUCAGCUGAGUUAUUUCCCUUGCUUGUUUAUUUAACUCCUGGAGAUUCAAAACUGCAGCAGAGAGUAUUUCAUAUCAGCUUUCUAGUCAAAACAGUCACAAAAUUCAGAAAGAUAAGAUUCAUGAUCUUGCAAUUUAAAUUUUUAUAUUUAAUCUUUUUGAAUACACCACUUUCUUUAUUUGUCAGUGUGUUCACUUCUCAAUGUUCUAAUUUUGUUUCUGUUUCACCAUCUUUCUGCAGAUGAUGGAUAAAAUUAACUCAAAACCUAAUCCGGCUGAUUUCUCUUGUGAGGAACUACUAGCACAGAGAUUCCUGGAUAUGGUGAGAUUUUUAUUUUCAGCCGUUGAUUUUAAUCUCUUUUGAUCGCUAGGUAAAUGAUAUCGAAAAACCGUAAAAUUUAUUUUUUGAUACUUCAAAUAUGCUAGAUCAAGUCUAACGGAGCCGAUCGUUGAUUCGAAACCUCCAUCAUCGAAAACGGCUUAGGAGCACGGAGGCCUCCGUGCUCCUAAUAGCACACAAGACCUACUCUCUCUCUCUCUCUCUCUCUCUAUAUAUAUAUAUAUAUAAUUGAGCUGCCACGCUGUACAUAGUGGAAGAAUAGUAUUUACUAUAGACUUUUUAAUCCUUUGAUACAUAAGAUAUACUAUUUGGUGGUGGUAUUCAUAUGGAUCCAGGGCUAAAAUGUCUAUAGUAAGUACUACUCAUCUACUAUAUUGCUGUUAAAUUUUUGUAGAGUAGGCCUUUCAUCGUAUAGAGUAAUGCUUCAGAUACCUCAUCAUUUGUUAGUUUGUACUGUACAAAUUAAUUUAGCACACAAUGUGUUGGUACAUAUGCCUAUAACUGUUCAAUUUGCAUGUCACAACGCUAAAAUGCAUAUACAUUAUUUUUUUUUUUUAAUAAAGAUCUUUAAAAGCAGUACCUGUAGCAAUACUCAAAAUAUAUAAAUCGCGGCAUCUCCCUUGAUCGAGGUUUCCUUCAUUGCACAGUAUAAUACUAUAAAAAUGUAAAAAAUUAACAGUAACAACAUAAAUAUAGUAUAGUUGUACUACAAGGACAAAAUGAAAACACCCAAAUUCACAUACAAACAUGACAUAAAUUUAAUUUCAGGUUUACAGGGUCUUUAGUUUACACUGUAGAAAACAUAAUAAUACAUUAAGACAAAAAAGAUGAAAACAUAAUACAUUUUAAUGACCACAAUGCACACCAAGCACAUCCCUUUUUCACAACACCAAUUAACAAUCCACACAAUAGCAAUAUAUAUAAAAUAGCAUACCCAUUAACAAUUUUUUUUUUGUUUUCAUUUUGUUUUUUUUUUGCUUUUUUUCUUUUGGAUUGCCACACCAACUCUUUGACAACAAUUAACAAUCCACACAACAGCAAUAUACAUACCCAUUAAUAAACUUUUUUUUCCCCAAUCUUCAGAAGCUUAAAAAAAAGCCCAUCAUCAAUUAGCUGUAGAAAGAUGGUGAAACAGAUAUAGAAUUAGAAUACUAAAAAGUGAGUGCAAUGAGAAAUAAAGUGAUACGUAACGUUCAAAUACAUUAGAAUGAUACAAUUUGAAUUGCAAGAUCAUGAAUCUUAUCCUUUGAAUUUUGGAAUUCAUAGAAAAUUACUGCAAGAAAACUGAUAUAAAAUACUUUUUGAUCACACUUUUGAAUCUGCAUGAAUUGAAGUAAGGGAAGUAAUGCAUCUGAACCAUGUUGAUUUAGCAUUAAGAUUCGAAAAGAACAACGAUUAGAGAAUAGGACUGUAGGAUUGUGUCAUAACACCAACACUAUAAACCCCAAUACUAGAACCAAAUUAUAUUGCAAGCACUUAAAUACUGACUCUACAUUUGAUGGCCUGAAAGAGAAAAUUUUGAAAGAGUAGCUUAUAUAGAAGUGCAUGAUGAGUACAGAAGCAAAUGCAUCCACUUACUACAGAGAUUAAUAUUAUUAUCUUCAAGUCGAGUGAUUAUAAAGUAUUUCAAUUUAAAACUAGGUCAGAUCAUUGUUUUAAAUCUAAUCUCAAAGCACACAGACAAGGUGUAGAAAAGUUUGAAGUGCUUCAAGAUCUUCGCUGAUUCAUCAAGAGACAAUGAUUAACUUCUGCACUUCAGAGAAUAAGAUCAGGAAUUCAAAGUUUGCCAAUUUGUAAGAACAGGAAGGUACCUCUUUUCCACAUUACAGAGCAUGUUUCGAAAUUCGAAGUUGUCUUCUACAGGGCUGGCACCAAGCAUACGCGCGCACGAACGCGGUCGAAUUUUAAGUAUUGCACCUUUAUAAUCGGACAUCCCCAUAUUUCUAAACUUUUGAGUGACAUGGGAAAAUUCAUCACUGGUUGCAGAUUUGGGCAGUUCAUCAGAACGAGAAAUUCUAGGGAGUGCAGUUCCAGUAUAUCCUGCAACAAUGAGAGCCCAGGACAAUGCUCAAUACUCAAGGAGCUAAGAGAUGGGAGGUUGCCCAGCUGUAACGAUGCCGUUCGCAUAUGACAUUGAGUAAUUGUAAGACGAGAUAGACAUGGCAAAUCCGCAUUUGCUAGUAUUACAUCUACAUCUGCACAAGACUCAAAAAGGAUAGACUGCAACGAGGACGGCGGCAAAGCAGUUUCACCGUCCAAGCAGGGGCAUCCAAUUAGAAGGAGAUUUUUGAGAUGGCGGAGGGAUCUUAUACCCCCCAGCGAAGUGAUGGCCCAGCACCCUCGUAGAGUCACAUCUUGGAGUGAUGUUAAGUUGCUGAGGACAUCCGCAGAUGGCAGACAGGUUACUGCUCUGAUCUCUGCCAGCGAGAGGUAGGUAAGGGAGGUAAGAGUUUGUAGGCAUGCCGACAACGCGUGGUCUGUAAUACUGCAUCCCUCAAGCGAGAGCUUGGUAAGGGUAGAGGGCAGCAGCAGUUUGGCCUCAUUUUGUCUGCUGUAAAUCAAUUCCAUCGUCCCCUCAUGCGCCUCCAACCAUCUCUCCCAGACAGCGGUUAUAUCCACGUUGGCGGCAGGUGCGCUCUUAUUAUGCUCUGCAGAGCUAGCUUCAUUACUUGAGUCAUUCGUUGCGGCUUUGGAAUUCAUCAUUGCUUUUUCAUUGUUGACUAAGGGCCGUUGAUAUAGGAAGAUAGACCAUGUCUCCAUCCUUUUAGUCAUGAUCAUUAGUCCUUUUUCAUUGUUGACUGAGGACUCCCGAUCUUGCUGCAGAAACCAUUUCGGCAUCCUUUUGCUCAUGACCUGCUUCAUGGAUGUCUUCUCUUCUUGGCUCAUCUGCAGGUCUUCAUUUGUUACGAGGGUGAGAAACGGCGUACGAAAUAUUGCAUUCCUCAAGCCGACCAAGUCGGUAAGGUGUGCAGGAAGUGAGCUAGCGUUUUCUACUCCCAACACCUGUAGCUGAUACAGAGUGGACACCGACUUCGGCAGCACGAACUUGCCAGUACUUGAAACUUGCAGGAUGCGAAGGUGCUUCAUUUCGCUUAUAAACUUUGAUGUCAGUUUUUCCAGAUUUAACCCCAAAGCCUGUAGCACGCGCAACUUUUUUAAGCUCUUGAAGAUGCUGGUCGCAACAUUUUUGUCUGAGACGACGCUUUGUCCUUUCGUGACGAUUAGGGUGCGAAGUUUCUUCAGUUUGCAAAUUUCCUCCUUCUUCUCAUUCAGUUUGUCAGCCGGUAUGCACAGAUGGCGAAUAGUCGACGGGAUCUCGCUUUGACAAUUACCUUCUAUUCUAACACAGUCACUGCGAGAAACUUUUUCUGCUAGAUCAUACAGCAAUUCAUGCAACGUGUAGCAGCAGACAAGCUUACCUGUCCCAGAGGAGUGGCAGAAUCUUUUAUGACGCUGAAUGUAGAAUCUGGACACCAAAUCUUUUAGGUCGCCUGCAUCCUCCAUCCUCUCAUUCCGAUCAUCCAGCUUGAUAAAACCUUGCGCCAUCCAGAGCCGAACCAGUUCUAAAGCUUUGAACUUGUAUCCUCUAGGAUACAGGCGACAGUAUGAGAAGCAACGCUUGAGAUGUGCCGGCAAAUGCCGGAAGCUCCACAUCAGUGCUUUGGUUUUGCCGCCGGACCAGUCCUCGUCUGUAAUCGUUUCCAAAUAUUCAUGCAAAUAUUCAUGCAAAUUAUCAUGCAAAUUAUCUUGGAGACUGGCCAGCUUCUUAGCGAUCGUCUUGCCGACCAUCUUGGCCGCCGUAGGGUCCUUGUUCAACUUCGCAGCCAUUGUCCUGCAUUUCUCUUUUAAAUCUUCUCUUAGGUGAGAAUCGCAUUGCCACAAUGCGUGGUGAAUGAAAAGAUCUGAGAAGUCAUUGUCUGCUAAAUCUUCCAAAUGGCAAACGUAUUCCACAGAAGCACCAUUAGGAGCAACAGUAAUAUUUCUCGGACGAUGAUCGUCCGUUUGAGACGUGAUUUCCGUUUGAGACGUGAUUUUUGUUUGAGACGUAACUAAAAUCUUGCUCCCUGGCAGACAACAACAUGUGCUUAAACAUCUCAAUAGCACAUCCCAAUUCUCCUCGCGGUCUUCUCCAUCCCGAUUCUCCUUGCGGUCUUCUCCAUCCCGAUUCUCCUUGCGGUCUUCUCCGUCGAACCAAACAUCAUCUAUCACGAGCAGGAACUUCUUCGCGUUCAGCUUUUCGUUCAUUUUCUGUCGUAGCGCUUCAGGCGAGCUAAGGUUACCGACAUCUGCGGGAGAAGCUAGUUGUACGAUGUCUCUCAUAAUUUCGGAUGCGUUGAAAUUGCGAGAUGCGUGGACCCACAUGAUGGGAUGAAAAUGUUGUCUGUCACCUAAUUCGCUCUUCAGCUGCUUGCGGACGUACUGUGCGAGAGUGGUCUUCCCGACCCCCGGGCGGCCGUCUAUGGCAAUUAUAGGCACGCCCGAUGACGAUCCAGGCUCGCGAAUUGCUGCAGGUUCCAUUUUCAAACGCCGAAUGAUUUCAUCACGUUCCUUGUCACGGCCGAACACCGUCAGCGGAGGCUCUGAGAUGGCCUGCAUGCUGUCAGGCGCUGCUGCUGCCGUCUGGUCGGGCUGGGCGCCUAACAAGGUGCGGAGUUUCUCGGCUUCGCCGGCGAUCUUUUCAAGCUUGUUCAGCCUUCGCUUCAGCUUGAACUUUUUUGGCGACAGCGUAUCCCGAACAAUUUUUGGUACCGGAUUACUUCGCCUCUUGCCACUCCUUGCUUCCGCCACCUGCCGUCCGAGGCGGCCGUAGUGGAGGAGGUCCAGCGCGUCCUCCGCGCCGUCGUAAGCGUCUUUCAGCCUCUGCAGCCAGCCCUCCACCUCGCUCCGGUGCGGGCUGCCCUCCGCUUUCUCGAUCACCGAUUUCAGCACCGGGAGGACGGUGUCCCUCAUCUUCUCCAGCUUCUUCUCCGCGUUGAUGCCUAAGCUGAGGUAGCCUUCGUUGAGCAGCUUCGCCACGAGGGGAGACGCCACCCAUCCCAGCACUGCUAAUAUGGCCGCCUCUACUCCCGCCAUUCUCGUGCCUGCAAGCUCAGAACAGACAGCUGGCUAGCUGCCAGCUGAGAAUUAACGACACCAAAGAAUAAUUUUAUUAUUAAUCGACCCCUGCACUCUGGUGUUCCUUCAAUCUAAGGCAUAAAAAUUACAGCUUAUUAAUCACGUAUGUGUGUUUCUUUUUACAUGAGUAUAUUAUAAAGCAAUGCUAUUUAAUGAUGCCCUAUAAUAUUAUAAGCUCUCUAUGAUCUAAUAAAUAUACUCUUUUAAUUAUUAUUUUUCAGCUUCCUGGUGUAUAUUAUUCACGUCUUCAUCCAAAGUCUUUUGUCUCGUCAACUUUUAUUAAAUAAAAAAUUAAAAUUUCAUCCAAAGUCUUUUGUCUUUUGUCUUGUCAACUUUUAAAAUUUUAAUCGAUGGUCUUUAGAGCAAGUGGCAAACGGCUUGGUGAUUGGUAUCCGAGGUUCGAAUUCUAGUUGAUUCACAUUUCUAGCUAAGUUUAUUUCUAAAUGAAAUAAACGAAGCGGGUAGCGUGCUACCUAUCUCUCAAAAAAAAAAAAAAUGGUUGUAACAUUUGAUCGUGCCGACUUUGAGAAAGUUCAAAUAAAAAAUUAUAACGAAUUAAAAUUUGAGAAUCAAAUGUCACCUGACUCGUAGUUUGAGGACCAAACAUGUAAAUUACCUAAUGGUAAUAAUAAUUGACUCAACUAGGCCCUCGUUCUUAUCUGUGAUUAUAUAUAGUUUAUACUAUCUUAUUGACUUGAGUCCCUGCUGGGUUUUUUUCUUUGUGAGAAAAAAAUAGUAUAUUAUUUGUUUUAUUUAUUUUAUUUAAAAAUAAAUUUAGCUAAAAAUAUAAAAUAAUUAAGCUUCAAAUCUGAGAUCUCGGAUAUCAACUAUCAAGUUUUGUGCCAUUGUGUUAGAGACGAUUGAUUGCCAAGGAUUAUUAUUAAGCAAUGCUAUCUAAUGCGCUCUAUAAUGUAGGCUUUCUUAUGGUUUAAAGAUAUACUCUUAUUAUUAUUAUUAUUAUUAUUAUUAUUAUUAUUAUUUUUGAGAGAAAGGUAGCAUGUUAUCCGAUUCGUUUAUUUCAUUUAGAAAUAAACUUAGCUGGAAAUAUGAAUCAAUUAGGAUUCGAACUUGGAUCUCGAGAAUCAACUAGAAUUUCGAUUUUGUAUUCUGAUUUGCUGGAAAUGUGAACCUAAUAUAAUUAUUAUUAUUGUUAAUAAUAAUAAUUAUACUCUUAUUAUUACUAUUUUUAGCAAUGCUAUUUAUAGACCUCAAAAAAUGGUACUGUAUAGUAUACGCACCUUUGUCCGAGGCCUUUUGUCCUGUCAACUUUUUAAAAAAUAUAUUAAAAUUUUAAAUUUUUUUGUAAAUAUAUUAGAAUGAUCGGACAUAAAUUAUACAAUUUUAUUUGGAGUGUAUAUUUAGCUUUUUGUAUACCAAAAAAGAGGAAUGUAUAUGUCAAUUACGGCAUUUAUAGGCAAGGCCAAGAAGGGAAGCAUUAGUACACUCUAGUAAUAAGUUAUAAGAAUAGCAAUGAGCAAAUAAAAAUAUAGGUCCCCGUUGUAAAUAGAAAUGUUAUAAUUAUAACACAGAUAUUGUUGGAUGUGCCUUAAAAUUUAAUUAUCGAGUUCGAUUUUGUAUUCUGAUUCGCCGAAAUAUUUACAGUGCUUACAACGAUCCGAUCCGUGAACAAUAAUAAUUUGUUGAACUCAAACCACGGGCCAAAAUAUUUUAAGCCUAAUUAUUAUUAUUAACAUGCUAGGUCUCGUAUAUUCCAAUUAGAAUUAUUUUUCCAUCAGCGUUAUAUACCCUCUUUUAAUUUUAAGAUCCCAACGUUUUUCUCAUGUCUAAACCCGAUAAAAAUUUAUCAGGUGAUGUAAAAUUCUAGAGAUAACUCCUAUGGGUUUAAGCGAUGUGUCACGGACUUAGCGUUUUCGUUCGCAAAUCCCGUGCGGCUCCCGCAUCACUGCUCGAAGAUGGGCAAGUCUUUGUCCCUAUUGCAAGCCCGAACCUUCACGUCCUACGACUAAGUAUGCAAAGAGAAGAAACGAGAGAGAGAGGUAGAGGUUCACUAAAAAAACUAAGUACUCCAGGACUUAGCGUUUUCGUUUGCAAAGCCCGUGCGGCGCCCGCCUUCAUGCUUGAAGAUGGGCAAGCCUUUGUCCUUGUUGCAAGCUCGGACCUUCACGUCCUACGACUAAGUAUGCAAAAGAAAGAAACGAGAGAAAGAGGCGGAGGUUCACUAAAAAAACUAUAUAUUCCACUACUUAGAAAAAAAGAUUACAGUAUACAAACACACUUUUUUUUGUGUGUCUUGGCCUUAGCCAAACGCUACUAUUUAUAUGCCUAAGGAUACAUUGAACCUAGCCACAUAACUCACCGACUAGCCUACUCAUAAUGAGCCCUCAUAAUAAUCAAAAGCCCAAGAGUCACACCAUAACUUAUGACAGUUUUAUAACCCUUGAGUUUCCCACAGCGGGUUGGGUUUGGGUCUCCUUGACAACUCGAUUCAACCCGUUUUCGCUAACAGAGUUAGGCCAGGGAUCGGGCUGCAUAGAAAUUUUUCCAAAUCCUUGACACCCUCCUCCACCUAAUGUGCAGGCGUCCUCGUCGCACGCUGCUUUUGGAACUCGUCGAUGAGCGCUUGGUACUGUCAAAAUGUAUCCGCUUUCUCCCAACUAGUCUCGCCGUAGGGGAGAUUCUUCCACUUUACCAAGUAUUCAGGAUUCGGCGGAACUCCACAUCGCCGAAUGAGUCGAGUGUCCAGGAUAAACUCCGCCUGUUUGUCGAAUGAAGUCACUAUGGUCGCAGAUGCUCACUGCGACACACUGCGGCUUAGAUCCUCCUCGUCUUCGUGGUACAGCUUCAACCUGCUGACAUGAAAGACAGGGUGGAUCUUGAAGUUCGCGGGCAGCUACAGCUUGUAGGCCCCUUUGCCCACACGCUUGACAACGGUAAAUGGGCCUUCAUACUUGCGCAGCAGUCCCUUGUGCACCUUCCGCAAGGCUUUGAACUGUUGCGGCUGAAGCUUGACCAUCACGCGGUCGCCCUCGGCAAACUCCCGAGGCUGCCCCUUUUCGUCAGCCCACUUAUUUAUCCGUCGCGCUGCUUUCUCCAAGUUUGCCCUUGCAAUCUCGCCUUUUUCCUGCCAGUUAGUGGUAAACUGAAAAGCAACUGGACUGCGGAACUGCUCUCCCACAGCAGCCGUAUGAGGAGCAAGUAGUUGCCGCCCGAUCACCAACUCGAAGGGGCUGCAGCCUGUAGACUCGCUGCGCCGCAAGUUAUAGAAAAACUAGACGACAUCAAGGUGAUGCACCCAAUCCUUCUAGUUGGUACUCACAUAGUGCCGCAAGUACUCCUCCAACAGAGCGUUCACCCGCUCCGUUUGUCUGUCCGCCUGCGGAUGAAAACUGGUGGAGAAGAGCAACUCCGACCCCAAGAUUUUGAACACCUCGGUCCAAAACUUGCCAGUGAACCUGGGGUCGCAGUCGCUCACCAUGCUCACGAGAAUCCCCCAAAGCUUGACGAUGUGGCUGACGAAGAAGCGUGCUGCUUUUUCAGCUAUGCAAUCGGUCAAUGCAGCAAUUAAGAUCCUGUACUUGAAAAAACGAUCAACUACCACCAGAAUGGACCCAAGCUCCCCCACCUUUGGCAAAACGGUGAUGAAGUCCAUCGAGAGGCUCUGUUACGGAUGGCUAGGCACAGGUAAAGGCUCGAGGAGUCCGCCAGGUCGCUGGUGCUCAACUUUGUCUUGUUGACACACCAAGCAAGUUCGCACAUAGGCCUCAAUGUCUUCGUGCAUCCGUGGCCAAAAGUAGGCGGCCUUGAGCAACGCCAAGGUCCGCUUCUGACCUGGGUGGCCCGCCCACUUGGAGUCGUGGCACUCCUUGAUGAGCUCGCGGCGAAGGUUGCCCCACUUGGGCAAGUACACCCGUCGCCCCUUGGUGAGGAGCAGCCCGUCGUUCAGCCAAAACCUUCGCAUUUUGCCCUCCUUGACAAGCUGCACCAAAUUCUGAGCGAUAGGGUCGUCGUUGGUUCUUGAACGAAGUCGAUCGCGGAGCGUCCCGUGAAGCUGCCACACGGCUGCAAGUUCAGCCUUGCGGCUGAGAGCAUCAGCCACGCGGUUUUCCUUUUCCGGGCUUGUAUUGCAUCUCCAUGUCGAACUCCGCCAAGAAGUCCUGCCACCUCGCCUGCUUAGGCGACAGCUUCUUUUGCGAUUAGAAGUAGCUCGUGGCAACGUUGUCGGUACGUACCACAAACUUGCUCCCAAGCAAAUAGUGCCGCCAAGUUUGCAAGCAGUGCACCACAGCGAUUAUUUCCUUCUCCUGAACGGUGUAACGCCGCUCAGUGUCGUUAAGCUUGCGGCUUUCAUAGGCAAUAGGAUGUCUGUCCUGCACGAGGACACCGCCAAUGGCAAAGUCAGAGGCAUCAGUAUGUACCUCAAAGGUGCCGCUGCAGUCGAGUAGUCGCAGCACUGGAUCCUCCGUCACUGCUCGCUUUAGGUCCUCAAAUGCCUCCGCGCAUUGAGAGGUCUACACCCACGAGUGGUUUUUCUUCAGCAGAUCCGUCAACGAGGCUGUUCUCGCAAAGUAGCCUGCAAUGAAACGGCGGUAGUAGUUGACGAGCCCAAGGAAAGACCGCAACUCGGACACCGUCGUUGGGGUCUCCCAUUCGCAGAUGGCUCGCACCUUCCGCUGGUCCAUGCGAAUCAGGCCCUGGCCUAUCCAGUGGCCAAGGAAGUGCACCUCUUCCUUUGCGAAUAUACACUUCUCCUUCUUGACCAACAACUGGUUCUCCCGCAGCACUUGGAAGACGAUUCGCAAGUGCUCGAUGUGCUCCUACAAGGUGUUACUGUAUACCAUGAUGUCGUCGAUGUACACCACCACAAAGCGAUCGAGAUAGGGAUGAAACAGCUUGUUCAUGAGUGUGCAGAAGGUUGCCGGCGCAUUUAUCAAGCUGAACGGCAUGACAAGGAACUCAUAGGCCCCGUACCUCGUCACGCACGUGGUCUUUUCCUCAUCUCCUUCCGCAAUCCACACUUGGAUAGUACUCAGAUCGAAGGUUGAGUUUGGUGAAGUACUUCGCUCCGCCUAAUUGGUCGAAGAAAUCUGCAACCAAAGGAAUAUGGUACUUAUUUUUUACCGUUACCUUGUUGAGCGCUCUGUAAUCGAUACAAAGUUGUAGGCUUCCGUCGCUCUUCCGCUGGAACAAAAUUGGUGCUCCAUAAGGUGCUUUUGACGGUCGAAUAAAGCCCGCAUCAAGGAGCUCCUUCAACUGCUUUUGUAGCUCCUCGAGCUCUGGCGGGGCCAUUCUAUAUGGCGCUUUCGCUCGCGAUUUGGCUCCUGGCUCGAGCUCGAUGGCGUGAUCCACCUCCCGCCUAGGUGGAAGUUGCUUAGGCAGCUCCUUCGACAUAACAUCCUGAAAAUUUGCCAAGACUGCCUCAAUCUCUGUAGGAAGGCCUUCUUCCUCGAAGCCCUCGUCGCUUACCUCGCGGAUAGCAGCAAGGUAAGUCAUUUCGCCAUGGUUCACACCCCUUCGCAGCUGCAAGGUAGAGAGGGCCUGAGUGCUUACCGUUUUCUCCUGGCUCGCUAGGACCAUGCAUGGAGCUGCCUCGUCCAUGAUGCUUAAGGCCCCAAGGUGUGGCAUUGGAACUGCCUUCGACGAGGCCAAGAAAUCCAUGACAAGUAUGACUUGGAAGUCGUCGAUAGGUGCGGCGAUGAAGUUUGCGAUGCCUCUCUAAGGUCCCACCGCAAUGGCCACGCCCGCAACAGGUUGCGCCUCAGAAUUGACGGCCUUGAUCCUACUAGCAUCCUUCUCAAGGGAAAGGCCUAUCCGUUUGGCCUCCACUUCGGCAACAAAGUUGUGAGUGGCGCCCGUGUCCACUAAUGCUCAUGUUGCCCUGCCGUUAAAGGUCACAUCGAUGUAUAGAAGCUCCUUGUUGAGGGGCUUGCUGUUGCUUGCCAGUCCCUGAACUGCGUUGACGAGCCUGAGCGCGCCCAUCGUCGUCGAUUCUGCAUUGCUCUCGCCCUGCUUGGUUUGGACUGCAUUCACCUGCUUUUUCUUUGGGCAGUCCCUAGCCCAAGGUUCUCACCGCAGACGUAGCACAUCAAUUUCUUCGGCGGCAGCAUAGGACCCCUCUCGCGGCCCGUGCGCUUCUUCUGGUCGCAACGGUCUCCUCCACCUUUAGCUUUGCUCGCUUUGGGCGCUUUGCUGCGAGUUGAAUCCGCCCGCUUGUACUCAGGCAGUUUUUUCGCUAAGACAAUUGCGGAGGCAACGUCCUUGACGUCAUGCCCCACAAGCUCCUUGUUCGCCCAAGGUUGGAGCCCGUCGAGAAAAAAGAAUAAGCGAUCUUCCUCCACCAUGUUGGUGAUGGACAGCAUCAACUUGGAGUACUCCUUGACAUACUCCUUGAGCGUCUCGGUGUGUUUGAUCCGUCGUAAUUGCUUCCUCGCAAGAUACUCGAUGUGCUCGGAGUAGAACUACGCCUUGAGCUCGUGCACGAAGUCCUCCCGCAUCUUCAAGCUGCAUUGGCCCUUCUUGGCCUCUACAGAACGCCGACGCUACCACAGCAUCGCGUCGUCAGCAAAGUACAUAGACGCAGCCUGGACUUUCUCCUCCUCGUCGUCCAGCUGCAACGCCUUAAAGUAGCGCUCCAUGUGCCACAAAAAACUAUUGAUCUCCUUCUCGUCGCGGGUACUCCUAAAAUUUUGAGGCUCAGGGACACGUACCUUCGAAGCGGAUUCUCUUUGGGGUUCAUUCCCACGCACCACUGCUUUUUCAAGGAUCGUCACUCUCGUCUCGAGCUCCUCGACCUUGUCGACUCGAGCAACGAGCUCCUCAAUCAGAUUCUUUCGCUCCUUGUCACGACGAGUCAUGUUGCCCUAGAGCUUUUCAAGUUCGCUUCGAAAGGUCGCCAUGGCAGUAGCGGCGUUUUCCUCCAUACUGCUGACAUCUUCAUUAAAAGAGUUAAAAGAAUCAGCCAUUUCGGUGUACCUAUCACCCAUUUUUUAUAUGAUGUCCUCCAACAGCGCAAGGCGGCCCUCCAACGACGCAUAAUCCCUCGUGAUUCGCGUCUCUCUACUCUUGGUCCGCUUAGAGGGCUUCUUUGGAGGGUCACCCCCUAUGUUGACAACUCCCGCAUCGAAUGACGAUAUAGUUCCUUGCUCGAACCGGCUCUGAUACCAACUGUCAUGGAUUUAGCGUUUUCGUUCGCAAAGCCCAUACGGCGCCCGCCUUCCUGCUCGAAGAUGGGCAAGUUUUUGUCCCUGUUGUAAGCCCGGACCUUCGGGUCCUACGACUAAGUAUGUAAAGGGAAGAAACGAGAGAAAGAGGCAGAUGUUCACUCAAAAAACUAAGUACUCUACUACUUAGAAAAAGAGAUUACAGCAUAUAAACACGCUCUUUCUUGUGUGUCUUGGCCUUAGCCAAAUCCCACUAUUUAUAGGCCUAAGGAUACAUUGAAGCUAGCCACAUAACUCACCUACUAGCCUACUCAUAAUGAGCCCUGAUAAUAACCAAAAGCCCAAGAGUCACAGCAUAACUCAUGGCAGUUUUGUAACCCUUGAGCUUCCCACAGCCGGUUGGGUUUGGGUCUCCUUGACAACCCGAUUCAACCCGUUUCCACUAGCAGAGUUUGGCCGGGAACCGGGAUGCAUAGAAAUAUUUCUAAGUCCCUGACAGGUGGCUCUUAUCAAACCCAUUAGUACGUAUAUCACCUUUUAAGAUCCUGAUGUUUUCCUCAAGUCCAAACCCAAUAAAGAAUUAUUAGACGAUGUGAGAUUCUAAAUAUGGCUUCUAUCGGUUUAAGAGGUGACUCCCACCAAAUUCAUUAGUGUAGCAUUUUGUCUUGUUUAACACUUAGCUCUCAUACUUUCGGCUGGUAUACGACUCUGAUACCAAUUGUAAUAAUUAAAUUGCUAGCAAUAAUAACUCGUUGGGUCUCAACCAGCGGCCCAAAAUAUUCAAGCCUACUUAUUAUUGUUAGUGUGUAAGACCAUAUAUAUUUCAACUAAAAUUAUUUUUUUAUUGGAUAUAAGAUUAUUGAGGUGUUACAGUAUGACAAAUUUUAAAAAAUAAUUUGUGAAGGUAAAACAAAAAAAAAGUACGCAUUGGAAGGGGAAGGCUCCGCUCCCGUGGUGCGGAUCGACUGAGAAGUGCAUAAAGAAUCCAAACAACACUCCAUUUACCGCUAAAUCAAGGCUAAAAAGAAAAAAAAUUGUUAUUUAAUUUAGGAAAAACUUCAAAUACCCCUCCUGUGGUUUUGCACUUUCUCACUUUAUUAUCAUGUGAUUUAAAGUGUAUCAAGUUAGUACCCUAUAGUUUCACACUUUCUUACUUUAGUACGCUGUGGUUUAAAGUAUAUUAAGUUAGUACCUUGUGGUUUCACACUUUCUCACUUUAGUAUUCUGUGGUUUAAAGUGUAUCAAGUUAGUACCCUAUAGUUUCACACUUUCUUACUUUAGUACGCUGUGGUUUAAAGUAUAUUAAGUUAGUACCUUGUGGUUUCACACUUUCUCACUUUAGUAUUCUGUGGUUUAAAGUGUAUCAAGUUAGUACCCUAUAGUUUCACACUUUCUUACUUUAGUACGCUGUGGUUUAAAGUAUAUUAAGUUAGUACCUUGUGAUUUCGCACUUUUUCAUUUUAGUACUAUGUGGUUUAAUAUUUUAUUAAAUUAUAUACAAAAAAACUUCAGAUAUCCUAUCUAGGUUUACCGAAUAUUCAUUUUAGAACCCUUUAGUUUUAACUUUGUCACUGAUUUAACGAAGAAAUUACCUCGAAAUGAAUAAUAAAAAAAGAAAAAUGAAACCAUGGCCAAAGUAAUAAUUUGAUAUAAAAAUAAAACCACAGAGUACUAAAGUGAAAAAGUACGAAACUACAGAAUACUAACUUGAUACAUUUUAAACCACACGGUACUAAAGUAAAAAUGUACGAAACCACGUGAGAGUUUUGAAGUUUUCCCUUUAAUUUAACCCCAUAUAUGGGCACUCACCAAGAUAGAUGGAUAGCAACCGUGGGAUCCGAAUCGGUAGGCACUCAGCAACGUGGACGGCAACAGCGUGGUUGGAAGCGAUGGGAUUUCGGAAACGUGGUCGCCAACUGCGCGGUCGGAAGCCGGCAUACACUCUACCAGUGGACGGCAACACCACGGCUGGAAGCGGUGGGAUGAAAUGGAAGAUGAACGUGGGGUAGAAGCCGGCAGCACUCUGGGGAUGGAAUGGAAGAUGAACGCGUGGAUGCUAACGGUAGUGUUAGCAUUGUUUAUAAUCUAUUCAACUACCGAAAAAAAUAAUAAUGAUAUAAGGACAAAUUACACGUUCAAUCCUCAAAUUAUAAGGCACCUAAUAUUUAGGUCCUCAAACGCACUGUCGAUAUAAAAGUAAGACAACGUCGUUAUUAGUGGCACAUCAUUAAUUACAAAAACUACUGAAUUAUUUCUGCAUUAACAAUGCAUUAAUAUUUAGUCAAUCAGAAUUGAAUUAUAUGAUCGACUUAAUUAUAAAAUUUUGAAAGUUCAGACUAAAAAUUAUAAUGAAUUAAAAUUUGAGAAUCACAAUAUCGAUCACACGACUCAUAGUUUGAGGACUAAACAUGCAACUUAGCUAAAUAAUAAUAAUGAUUGACUCAACUACGCCGUCGUCUGUAUCUAUGCGCAUAUAUACAAUCUUUUAUUAUAAUUAGGUAAUAUGUAAUGGUACGAGUCGACAAAUAAUACCGAUACUAAUCUAUACUAUCUUAUUGACUUGACUCAAUGAACGGUGACAACAAAUACUAUCUUUUUCUAAUGUGUUUGGUUAAUUGGAUAGAAUUGGAUCGAAUCCAACCAGAAAAACUUCGUAUAUUUUGUGUGUGUGUGUGUGUAUAUAUAUAUAUAUAUAGAACUAGGCUGGAAUACUAUCAAUAGCACAAAACUAUUGGUGCUAUUAAUUUUUUAGUCUUUGGAUUGAGAAAUGUGCGGUUAGGAUGAUGUGAGCCUCCUAGAGUUGAGUGGAUUGUUGGUUAAAUAGUAUAAUCUAACGGGUAAAAAUAAUCAAAUAGUUAAAUCUAACGGUGGAAAACUCGAUAGCACCAAACUCCUGCUGCUAUCAAUAGUAUCCCAGCCGGACUCUAUAUAUAUGUUAACAUUCUAAUCUGUAUCUAAUAUCAGACCUGUCUCAAAUAAAAUCCGCAUGUAUGAAUGUAUGCCAUGAAUUAUUAUAAGUCCAUGCGUAUGGGUAAUAUUACGAUCUCAAACUGCUUUAGUUUGAGACAAGCCUCAUAUGUAUAAUUUUCGCACUGAGUUGCCUUAAUUAUAACUUUCGCUCGUGAAAUCUGUGGAAUGUAUCAUUCACCCACAACGUAUGAGGUCCAGUAAAUCUGAUCAUAUUCAAACAGCUAGUGAGUAGUCACCCACAACUUUAUAAAUUAUCUGUCGAUAAUGUAUUUAACUUGUUUAUAUUUAUUUGCUGCAAAUUUCGUGUUGAAUAUGACAAGGGGAGUUUAUAAAUUCAUUAAUAUAUAAAACUAUCUAAUAAUUACCUCCGAUGGAGUAUAAACUAAAAUUAGCGAAAUAUGAGACUCAUCAAAACUGAAAGGCUGAAACUCCUUCCUAUAACAGUUUUAUGAAUAAUUUGUGUUCACUGUUUGGUUCAAUCUAGCUAGAGGCAUAAAACAAAAAUAAAAGGAAAAAAAAAAAAUCGUACCUUAUUCACGUGUGUCUUUUUGUAACAUUUUAGCAAAGGGUUUGGUGGUUGGUACUCGAGACCCAAAUUCGAAUCUUAGUUGAUUCACAUUUCCAGCUAAGUUUAUUUCCAAAUGAAAUAAACGAAGCGGGUAGCGUGCUACCUAUCUCUCAAAAAAACAAAAUAAAAAAUGUUUAUUAUUUAUUAGCAAAUGUUAUUGUAUGGCCAAUAUGUAGGUUUCUUUCUACGCGGUUAAUAAUACUCACUUAUUUUUAUUUUUUUUUUUUUAAAUUCGAGUUUUUUUUUUUUUUUUUUUUUUUUUGAGCAAUGCUCUUUGUAUGUGUCAAAAGGGGUGGUGUAUAUUAUGCACAUCUCAAUAACAGGCUUUGUCUUGUCAAUUUUUUAAAAAAUAUUAAAAAUUUAAGAAAUUUUGUAAAUCUUAUUUAAAAUGAUGAAAUGUCAAUCAUACAUUUUUUUUAAAGUAUACAUCUUACUAUAUGUACUCCCAAAAUAGAAGUGUAAAUUUUAAUUACAGCCCAUCUAUAUCCAAGGAUCGAAAUAAUUUUUAUGAAAUUUUAGUAUUAAAAAAAUAAAAUUGUUAUAAAACUAGUGCGAUUAAAUUGAUCCGACAUUGGUCUUAUUACAUGAGACAAACAUAUAUACCAGGCAUCUAUUAGCAUGGACAAGAAGAGGUGCAACUUGCCAUUGUUUAGAACCUACUCAUGCAACUUGCCAUGCAUUGUUUAUAAUCUACUCAACUACGUACCGUAAAAUAAUAAUGAUAUAUAUAUAAUUAAGAUAUAAAAUGUAUUGGCACAAGUCGACAAAUAAUACCAAUACUAAUCUAUACUUUCUUAUUGACCUGAGUCAGUGAACAUUGACAACAAAUAUAUACUACCUUCUCUAGAUAGCAACUCUCUCAGAACUUUGUUCUGAAACCUGCUGGGUUAAGGCUUCUACUAAAUAUUGUUAGUGACCCAAAAUGUGUUUGGUUAAUGGGAUCGAAUCCAACCAAAAAUUAAGUUCAAGUUAAUAGUUGGAUAAACUUCUUUUAUUAUGUAUAUAUAUGUUAUAUAUAUAGCUUUCUAAUUUGUGUCUAAUAUCAGAUCUGUCUUAAACAGAAUCCACAUGGAUGAAUGUACCCUGUGAAUGAUUAUAACUCCAUGCGUGUGGGUAAUAUCUUGGGCUCAAACUGCUUUAGUUUGACACAAGUCACGUAUAAUCUUCGUGUGCUGAGUUACCCUGAUUAUAACUUAAUUUCUGUUCAUAAAUUAUGAGGAAUGUAUCAUUCACCGGCAACAUAUGAGGUCCGUUUAAUCUUAUCAUGUUCACACCGUAAAGAGUAACCAAAAGCACAAGAGGUACUACAACAACAAAAUUAAAACACUCAAAUUCACAUACAAACACGACAUAAAUUUCAGGUUUACAGGGUCUUUAGUUUACACCGUACUAAACAUAAUACAUUAAGAGAGAAGAGGAUGAAAACAUAUUAUAUUUUAAGACCACAAUGCACACCAUGCACAAAAUUAACCAAACCAAGUCUUCGACAACACCGACCGUCCCUAGAGCAAGUGGCAAAGGGUUUCGUGGUUGGUACCCGAGGUCCCAAGUUCGAAUUCUAGUUGAUUCACAUUUCCAGCUAAGUUUAUUUCUCAAUGAAAUAAAAGAAGCGGGUAGCGUGCUACCUAUCUCUCUAAAAAAAAAAAAGUCUUCGACAACAAAAUUAAAACACUCGCAUACUAAUAUAUUAAUAAUUCUAGGUCUUCAGAGUCUUCUGCGCUGUACAAAACAUAAUACAUUUUAAACAAAAAAAAGUGAAAUAUAAUACAUUUUAUGACCACAAUGCACACCAAGCACACCCUUUUUUUUUUUUUUUUUUUUUUUUUUUUUUUUUUUUUUUUUUUUUUUUUUGCUUGUUUUUGGCUUCUUUUUUGUGAUGGACGAACCAAUUCUUAUACAACAUCAAUUAACAAUCCACACAAAUAGCAAUAUAGAAUCACAUACACAUUAACAAGCCUUUUUUUUUUCUGUUUUAAUUUUCAUUUUUUUUGGCUCUUUUUUUUUUGGAUGGCCAAACCAACUCUUUGACAACAAUUAAUAACCCACACAAUAACAAUAUACAUACCCAUUAAUAAACCUUUAUUCUUUUAAUUUCCCCCAUCUUCAGAAGCUAAUUGCCCAUCAGAUGCCUGCAAAAAGAUUGCGAAACCAAUACAGAAUGAGAACACUAAAAAAUAAGCACAAUGAAAAAUAAAGUGAUACAAAACGUUCAAAUAGAUUAGAAGGAUGCAAUUUGAAUUGCAAGAUCAUGAAUCUUAUCCUUUCAAUUAUGGGAUUCAUAGAAAAUUACAGCAAGAAAACUGAUACAAAAUACUUUUUUAUCACACUUUUGAAUCUGCAGGAAUUAAAAGUAAGGGAAGUAAUACAUCUGAAUCAUGUUGAUUUAGCAAUUAAGAUUCGAAAAGGACAAUGAUUAGAGAAUAGGACUGUAGGAUUGUAUCAUAACACCAACAAUAUAAAAUCCAAUCCCAGAACCAAAUUAUACUCGAGCACUCAACCCUAGGAGACCACUAUUAAUCUAACCGAAGACCACUAUUAUCCUAACCGCACAUCCCUUCAUCCAAUGAUCGAAAGCUUAUAAGGACAAAGGGUUCUAUACACAGAAGAGUAUAGUAUUAGUAGCCCUAGCCUAUAUAUGAGUCCGGCUACUAUAUUCUUAUGAGUAUAAGCCCAGUGUUAUUAGAAGCACGAAAGCCUCUGUGCUCCUAAGCCGUUUUCGAUGAUGGAGCUUCCGAAUCGACGAUCAGCUCUGUUAAACUUGAUCUAGCGUAUUUGAAGUAUCUAGAAAUUAAAUUUUAUGAUUUUUCGAUAUCAUUUACCAAUUUUAAUUAUCGAAUUAAUGACAACCAAUAAAAUUUUACAAAAAUAUAAAAGCUAAUUAAAUUUCUAUUGCUGUUAAAUUUUUGUAGAGUAGGCCUUUCAUCGAAUAGAGUAAUGCUUCAGAUAGCUCAUCAUUUGUUAGUUCGUACUGUACAAAUUAAUUUGCAUGUGGCACACAAUGUGCUGGUACACAAGUCUAUAACAGUACAAUUUGCGUGUCACAAUGCUCAAAUGCACAUACAUUAUUAAUUUUUUUAAUAAAGAUCUUUAAAAGUAGUACCUGUAGCAAUACUCAAAAUAUAUAAAUUGCGGUAUCUCCCUUGAUCAAGGUUUCCUUUAUUGCACAAUAAUACUAUGAAAAUGUAAAAAAAUUAACAGUAACAACAUAAAUAUAGUAUAGUAUUCUUUGUACAUUCGCCACAAUUGAUGAGAGGUAAUACAAGGACAAAAUUAAAACACCCAAAUCCACAUACAAUCAUGACAUAAAUUUCAAGUUUACAGGGUCUUUAGUUUACAGUGUAGAAAACAUAAUAAUACAUUAAGACAGAAAAAGAUGAAAACAUAAUACAUUUUAAUGACCACAAUGCACACCAAGCACAUCCCUUUUUCACAACACCGAUUAACAAUCCACACAAUAGCAAUAUAUAUAGAAUAGCAUGCCCAUUAACAAUUUUUUUUAUUAUGUUUUUAUUUUGUUUUUUUUUUUUUUUUUAUUUUUUUUUUUUUUUGCUUUUUUUCUUUUGGAUGGCCAAACCAACUGUUUGACAACAAUUAGCAAUCCACACAACAGCAAUAUACAUACCCAUUAAUAAACCUUUUUUUUCCCAAAUCUUCAGAAGUUAAAAAAAGCCCAUCAGUUACCUGCAGAAAGAUGGUGAAGCAGACAUAGAAUUAGAACACUGAAAAGUGAGCGCAACGAGAAAUAAAGUGAUACAUAACAUUCAAAUAGAUUAAAAGGAUACAAUUUAAAUUGCAAGAUCAUGAGUCUUAUCCUUUGAAUUUUGGGAUCCAUAGAAAAUUACUGCAAGAAAACUGAUAUAAAAUACUUUCUUACCACACUUCUGAAUAUGCAGGAAUUAAAAUAAGAAAGGUAAUACAUCUGAUCCAUGUUGAUUUAGCAUUAAGAUUCGAAAACGACAACGAUUAGAGAAUAGGACUGUAGGAUUGUAUCAUAACACCAACAAUAUAAAAUCCAAUCCCAGAACCAAAUUAUACUCGAGCACUUUAAUAAUGAUUCUACAUUUGAUGCCCUGAAAGAAAAAAAAAAAAAAUUGAAAGAGUAACUUACAUAGAAGUGCAGGAUGAGUACAGAAGUGAAUGCAUCCACACACUGCAGGGAUAAAUAAUAUUUUUAUCUUCGAUAGAUAGAUGAGUGAUUAUAAAGCAUUUCAAUCUAAAACUAGGUCAGUUACAUCGUUUUUAAUUCUAAUCUCAAAACACAUAUAUAGGCGAGGUGCAGUGAAGUUUGAAGUACUUCAAGAUCUUCGCUGAUUCAUCAAGAGAUGGACUGAUUAACUUAUGCACUUUUAAUGAGGAAAAAAGAAUAAGAAGAUCAGGAAUUCAAGGUUUGCCAAUUCGUAAGAACGGGAAGGCGAUACGUACCUUUUUUCCACAUUACGGAGCAUGUUCGAAGCUGUCUUCUACAGGGAUGCCGUUGAGCAUACGCCUGCCCGAAAGGGGGUCAAUUUCUACGGAUUCCUUCUCUAAAAUCGGACAUCCGUGUAUUGCUAAACUCUUGAGUGACCUGGGCAAAUUCAUCACUGCCUCCAGAUUCGAGCAGUUAUGCAGAAUGAGAAAUUCUAGAGAGUGCAGUUCCUGCACAUCCACCGAGGAUAAGAGCCCAGGACAAUGCCUAAUACUCAAGGAGCGAAGAGAUCGGAGGUCGCCAAACUGUAACAAUGCUGUUCGCAUACGACAAUGAGUAAUCAUAAGAUCAGAUAGACAUGGCAAAUCUGCAUUGGCUAGGAUUACAUCUACAUCUGCACAAGAUGCAAAAGUGACAAUCUCCAACGAUGACGGCAGGAAAGUAGUUUCACUGUCCAAGCAGGGGCAUCCAAAUAGAAAGAGAUCUCUGAGACAAGGGAGGGAUCCCAUACCACCCAGCGAAGUGACGGCCCAGCACUCUCGCAGAAUUAUAGCUUGGAGUGAUGUUAACUUGCCGAGGACAUCUUCAGAUGGCAGACAGGUUACUGUUCUGAUCUCUUCUAGCGACAAGCGGGUGAGGGAGGUAAGAGUUUGUAGGCUUGCCGACAAUGCGCGGUUAGUAAUGUUGCAUCCCUUAAGCCAGAGCUCGGUAAGGGUAGAGGGCAGAAGCAAUUUGGCCUCAUUUUGUCUGUUGUAAAUCAAUUCCAUCUUUCGCUCGUGAAUCUCCAACCAUCUCUCCCAGUCAUCGGUAAUAGCCACGUCGGCGGCAGGCACACUCUUAUUAUGCUCUGCAGAGCUAGCUUCAUUAUUGUUGGAGUCAUUCAUUGAGGCUAUGCAAUUCAUCAUUUCUUUUUCAUCGUUGAGUAAGGACUCUUGAUAUUGGUGGGAAAACCAUUUCCGCAUCCUUUUCCUCAUGACCUCUAUUAUGGAUCUCUUGUCGGCUGGGCUCAUAUGCAGGUCUUCUUUUGUUACAAAGACGAGAGACGGUGUAUUUUCUAUUAUGAGUAUUGUAAGCUGUGGGGGAAGGGCAUGUAAUGCUUUAAGUUUAGAAAGAUGCGAGAGCUCAAGUGAUCCGCAAGAAGGGUAAUUCUGGUCCAUUCGCGAGAGCUCUUCAAGCAUUCCACACCUCCUCAGCGCAAGUUUUUGAAUAUUGCGUGUUUGAUAUUCGGGCCAAGACGGACAUGACCGUCCUCGGUACCCAUCUAACAUCAGGCUGGUAAGAUAGGGAGGCAAUUGGAGGCCCUCGAGAAUUUCAACAUCCAAAUUAGAAUUUACAUUGUCCUCACCAUCGCGCCAUACCAACUGGAGCAUAUCAAGAUGCUUCUUUUCUUUCAAAUUGGCUGCAAUGGCACUCUCCUUGCUCUCAACAUUCUCAAGAUUAGCAAUACGCAAGCAUCCUCGAAGCUCAUUCAAGUUCUGUAGUUGCUCUAGCUCAUAUCCUUUUUCCUUUCUCACCGGAAAAUUUUCUAGGCCUUGCAAGGAAGUUAACUUGCCAACGUCAGGUAUCGCCGAAAUUAUAUCAGAAUUUGCCUCUAGAUACCUCAAGCUAACCAAGUUAUUAAGACGCUUAGGAAGCGAGCUAGCGCUUUUUAUUCGCAGCACUUGUAACUGAUACAGAGUACACACCGACUCCGGCAACACAAACUCACUAGUACUUGAUACUUGUAGGACGCGAAGGUGCUUCAUUCCACUUAUAACCUUUGCCAAAUUUUCUAGAUUUAACUCCAAAACCAGCACGCGCAAUUUUUUUAAGCUGAAUUUUUUUAAGCUGUUGGAGAUGUCGGUCGCAACUUGUUCUUUUGAGGUGACGCUUUCUCCUUUAGUGACUAUUAGGGUGCGGAGUUUCUUUAGUUUGCAAAUUUCCUCCUUAUUCUCGUUCAGUUUGUUAGCCGGUAUGCACAGAUGGCGAAUAGUUGACGGGAUCUCGCUUUGACGAUUACCUUCUAUUCUAACACAAUAAUUGCGAGUAACCUUUUCUGCUAGAUCAUACAACAAUUCAUGCAACUUAUAGUAGCGGACAAUCUUAUAUGUCCCAGAGGAGUAGUGGAUUCUGUUAUGAGGCUGAAUGUAGAAACUGGACACCAGCUUUUCAAGGUAACCUUUGCCUACAUCCUCCAUUCUCUUAUUCUGAUCAUCCGGCUUGAUAAAACCUUGCGCUAUCCAGAGAUGGACCAGUUCUAAAGCUUCGAACUCGUAGCCUUUAGGAUACAUGCUACAGUACGAGAAGCAACGCUGAAGAUGUGCAGGCAAAUGCCGAUAACCCCACAUCAUUGCUUUGGUUUUGUCGUCAGACCAGUCCUUUUGUGCAAUCCUUUCCAAAUAUGCAUGCAAAUUACCUUGUGAACGAAAGAGGCGAGCCAUCUCCGUAGCGAUCGUCUUGCCGACCAUCUCGGCCGCCGUAGGGUCCUUGUUCAACUUCUUAGCAAUUGUCUUGCAUUUCUCUUCUAAAUCUUUUCUCAAGCGAGAAUUGAUUUCCCCGCUAGGCAAUGCGUAGUGAAUGAAAAGAUCCGAAAAGUAAUUCUCUUCCAUAUCUUCCAACGGGACAAUGUGUUCUACAGGAGCACCAACAGCAGCAGCAAUCUUUCUCGGCGCAUCGUCCGUCUGAGACGUAACUAAAAUCUUGCUCCCCGGCAAACAACAACAUUUGCUUAAACAUCUUAGUGUUUUCCAACUAUUCUCGUGGUCUUCCCCGUCGCACCAAACAUCAUCUAUCACGAGCAGGAACUUCUUCCCGUUCAGCUUUUCGUUCAUUUUCAGCCGCAGCGCUUCAGGCGAGCUAAGGUUACCAAGAUCUUGAGGCUCACCUGCAAUAGAAGCCCGUUGUAUGAUCUCUUUCAUAAUUUCGGAUGCGUUGGAAUUGCAAGAUGCGUAGACCCACAUGACGAGAUCAAAAUGUUGUCUGUCGCCUAGUUCGCUCCUCAACUGGUCAAAGACGUACUGUGCAAGAGCAGUCUUCCCGACCCCCGGGCGACCAACUAUGGCAAUUAUAGGGAUGCCCGAUGAUGAUCCAGUCCCGCGAAUUGCUGCUGCAGGUUCUGUUUUCAAACGCCGAAUGAUGUCUUCGCGAUCUUCGUCGCGGCCGAACACUUCCUGGGGAGGCACUGCGAUGGUCUGCCUGCUGUCUGCUGUCUCAGGCUGGGCGCCUAACAAAGUGCUGAGUUCCUUGGCUUCUCCGGCGAUGUUUUUCAGCUUGUUCAGCCUUCGCUUCAGCUUGAUCUUUUGAAGCGACAGCAUGUCCCGGCCGCCUUUUAUCACCCAUUUCACAGGUUUUGGUACGUGAAAAAAGGAAGAAGAACGUACCGGAUUAUAAGUUGGCCUCUUACCACUGCUCCUCCUUGCGGCCGCCGCCGCCUUGCGUCUGAGGCGGUCGUAGCGGAGGAGGUCCAGCGCGUCCUCCGCGCCGUCGUAGGCGUCUUUCAGCCUCUGCAGCCAGCCCUCCACCUCGCUCCGGGGCGCGCUGUCUUGCGCGCUGUCUUCCGCUUUCUCGAUCACCGAUUUCAGCACCGGGAGGACGGUCUUCUCCAUCUCGUCCAGCUUCUUCUCCGCGUUGAUGCCUAAGCUGGCGAAGCCUUCGUCGAGCAGCAUCUUCAAGAGUGGAGACGCCACCCAUCCCAGCGCCGCUAAUCCGAUCGAUUCUAGUACUGGCAUUGGUGUGUUGCAACUAACAAUCGUAGGAGUAGAAAAUUAAAAAUAUAAAACUAGAGAGUAAUAAAUUAAUUAGAUGGGACGAAUGAAUAAUCGAUUGUACGGUCACAUAUCAUCAUACAUAGUGCAUUGACUUGACCUCACACGCACGAGUCGAUCUAAACUCGUUAAACUUCUACGGUGCCGAUUAUCAAUUUGAAGUUUCGAUCAUUCAAAUCGACUUGACAGGACAAGGGUCCCAAUCCUAUUAAUAGGAUAGUAACCGGACCCUAUAUAUAUAUAUAUAUAUAUAUANNNNNNNNNNNNNNNNNNNNNNNNNNNNNNNNNNNNNNNNNNNNNNNNNNNNNNNNNNNNNNNNNNNNNNNNNNNNNNNNNNNNNNNNNNNNNNNNNNNNNNNNNNNNNNNNNNNNNNNNNNNNNNNNNNNNNNNNNNNNNNNNNNNNNNNNNAUAUAUAUAUAUAUAUAUAUAAAAUUGAGCUUCUAUGCUUUUAAAAGUACCAAGUCAUUGGUGCUUAUAAGUUUUCAGCCCUUGGAUUAAGGGAUGUGCGGUUAAAAUAAUGUGGGCCCCUUAGUAUUGAGUGGGUGGUUGGUUGAAUAGUAUAAUCUAACGGGUAAAAAUGAUCAAAGAUAUAGAUCUAACAGUAAAAAAUUUACAAGCACCAAGUGCUUGGUGCUUUUACAAACGCCAUAGCCGGACUAAGCUAGACCAUUCUAAUUAAUGAGUCUUUUGCUUAUGAAUUUGUUUCUUUUGUUGUUGUUAAAUGGUAUAUGUUAGAGAUAAAUAUAUGAUCUUUGCAACUGAGGCAUUUUCCCUUGCAGUCCCUUUCAUGGCCCUCACCUAAUUAGGCUAAUGGCAAACCAUAAGCUAACACAAACACCAACUAAGCCUACUCUAGUCUGAGGUUAGUCCAUGAGAAUUCAGUGGUGAAGCUUCGUCGAGUCUCUCAAACGAAGAAAAUGUGUUGGUUUUAGGCCUAAUUUUCUCCCCUCUAAAUAGGGGUGGAAACGAGCCGAGCUCGAGCGAGCUUAUGUCAGCUCAAAUUCGACUUGAAAUUAAUUUCGAGCCUAAAUCUAGGCUCAAGCUCGGCUUGAAAUUAAUUCGAGCCGAGCUCGAGCGAGCCUAAUUUCGAGUCGAGCCGAGCUCGAGCUCUAAACGAGCCGAUUGAAAUUCUCGAGAUUAUAUAAUCAAUAGUUUAAUUUUUAUAUAACAUUACCUACAAUUUGAUGCAACAUGUCCAAUAGAUCAAAAUAUAAAAUAAUUGCAAGAAAUGUGAGAUAGGGUGACUACUUGAUUGGGUGAGGGUCUGAGAGAGAACGAGAGAGAGAGAGAGAGAGAGAAGGAAAAAAAAAAUAGGGAUUUUGAGAAUUUGAAUGUUAUCAUAUUUUGGGGUUAUGUGCAACAGUGAAAAUCUGAAAGAGAUAGUGUGUUAUGUAAAUUUAGAGUUGAGCUCAAUUGCACGGUUGUACUUGUUGGGUUUAUUUUAUGGGCUAACAAUAAUGGCCCAAAUUAAAUUUAAAAGCGUACAUAUAAAUUAAGAAAUAGCAUUAAUUAUAAAUAUUUUAUAGCGUACGGUUUAGGCCGUACCUAGUAUAGAUAGCAGUCCAGCUACUUAUCCUUAUUUAAUAGGGAUUGAGCCAUUGUGCCUAUCAUAGUCGUUGUUCGAGGUUUGAAUCGGAAGCUUCAAAAAUUGAUAAUUCGGCAGCCGGUUGAAAUUGGAUCUACACAAUUAGGAACAUGUUUAGAAAUCAAAACUUUAGUUAAUAUUUAAAAAUCAUUAUUUCAAGUUCAUCUUACAGGAGUUUAAAAAAUGACGACGGUCGUAGAAUGAAUGAACCUUCUUAUAAAUAGAGGUUAGACUUUCUCAAUUCAUAAUGCAAGGUUAUCAAAACAUGCGUACUAAAUGAGUAUAAAAAAGGUUUCUAUCCGAAAAAUUCAAGCAAUUGAUUGCUCUCGUACACUCGUUAAACAAAAGGCAAACGGCUUAAUAGCCGGGUCACAAAUGGUCGACUUUUACGACACUUUGGAUCACGCAUGUAAAUAAUUUUUAAAUUAUGAGGGAAUUUAGUGUUCUAGAUAGUUUCAAGAUACUCUAGAUCAAACUUCACGGCUUUUUCCGAUCAUCGAUCGGCAAUCUCGCAUCAUCAAAACAAUUGGAUAGGACAAGUCCCCUGACCUACUAAUAGAUAGUAGCUCUAGCCGGGGUAUAUAAUUAGGUAGCUACGUGAUAGCUAAUAGGUACCUAGUAUAUAGGUAGUUAUAUAGGUAUAGCAGUCCGGGUCUGACGUGUACGUUUAUGAAGUAUUGGCUGCUGUUUGAAUACUCAUAAGUUUUCGACCCUUAGAUUUUAUUCCAUAAAUCGAUUUUCAGUCCGUGGUGAGAUCAUUACGCUUAUGUUAACUAACUACCCACUCAUACCCCGUAGGGGGAGACUAUCAUUUCUAAUUGGGGGGACCGACCAUCCGAUACGUAACCACACAUCGGAGCCAGCAAUCAACGAUUAAAAGAUUUAUGAGUACGAGGACGUCUAGCCCAAAGCAUAGGUUAUAUAUUAAGAUACUACGUAUUAUAGGUAUACUAGGUAUAGUAGUAGUGUAGUAGUUACUUAUAUAGUAAUAUAGUGUAGUAGGUCAUAGUAUAUAUAUAUAUAUAUAUUCGAGCUUUUCGAGCCUAAUUCGAACGAGCCGAGUAGUACUCAAGCUCGGCUUGAAAUGAAUCUCGACCCUUUUAUUUUGUUCAAGCUCGGCUCAUUUAAUUUCGAGUCGAGCUCGAACGAGCCGAAUAUCGAGUCGAACACGAGUCGAACGCGAGCCAGACGCGAGCCAGCUCGCUCGUUUGCCAGCCCUACCUCUAUCUAUGCUCUAUUCCUAUUUUCAGGGAUUCACUAAAUGCGUAAUUUGACCACCCUCUUUUCCUCAAUUAAUGAAUAUUUUGAUUUCUCUAAUGCAGUAGCCUUUGCAAAUGGGCCCUGCUAUUUGACGGUAACUUACUAUAGAUAAGAUCAUGUGUUGAAAAUUAGGCCUCCGUGCUUCCGAGUCAUUUUUUUCUGAGCCGUUUUCGAUGAUGGAAUUUCGAAUCGACGAUCGGUUCUGUUAGACUUGAUCUAGCGUAUUUGAAGUUUUAGAAUAUAAUUUUUGCGAUUUUUCGAUAUUAUUUACCUAGCAAUCGAAAGGAUUCAAAAUCAAUAAUUUUUAACGGCUGAAAAUAAAAAUCUUAUAAAAAGUGAUGAUAUAGCACUAAAAUUUUUAAUCAGAAAUAUUAAUAUUGUUGUACAUAGUAUAAAAAAUUUUGUAUCAAAAUUUCAUCUGAUUUGAAUACUUCUACACCGUUAAACUUGAAAACGGUAGAUAUCAACCAUUAAAAAUUAUUGAUUUUUAAUAUAAAUAUUUAUGAAUUUCAAAAAUAUAAAGUUUUAAUAUUCAAAAAUAUAAAUUUAAAUUUUAAAUUUCAAAGUUUAAAUUAGAAGAUUAAUUAAAAUUUAAAUAUUAAUUUUAAUUUGAAUUUAAAAUUAAUUAGAAUUUUAAUAUUUAGAGAAUAUAUUAAAAUUUAAAAUCUCAAAGUUUAUAAUUUAAAAUUUACAAUUUAAAUUAAUUUAAAAUUUAAAAUUUAAAAUAAUUAUGUAAUUAAUAUAAAAUUUAAAAUUUAAAUUGAAUAUCUAAAAUUUAAUUUUUAAAAUUAAAUUUAAAUUUUUAAAUUUAAUAAUUUGAAGUUUCAACUGUAGUAUUAAAUUUUAAAUUUAAUAAUAUUUAAAUUUUAAAUUAAUUUUAAAACUAAAUGUCAAAAUUUUGAAUUUUAUAUUAAAUUUUGAAAUUUAAUUUUCGAAAUUUUAAAAUCUAACAUUUGAGAUUUAAAUUAACAUUUCAAUUUAAUUUAGUUGAAUCUAUUUUUUUAAUUUAAAUUUUAAAAGUUAAUGUAAAAAUAACAUAAUGAAUCCUGAAUAUUAAAAUUUAACAUUAAUAUUAGUAUUAAGCUUGAUAUUUAAAAUUAAAUUCAAUUUGAGUUUGGCNNNNNNNNNNNNNNNNNNNNNNNNNGUCCCUAAGUGAUUUACGCAUUAAACUGGUGGGAGAAAAGGAGUUAAUUACUUAUAAAACUAAAGAGAUUACGUCAUCGGAAACGUUUACCCGGGACGAUAAACUGCCAUUGAAUGAUAUCUAUUCUAGUACACAACUUUUAAUCCGGAGGCACGAAGGCUCAGUAAAAAAAGACUCGGCAAAAGCUACUACCUUAAAGCUUAGCUGCUAGCCAAGACAAUCUGAACUAGAUCGCAUAAACUUCAAAAUCUUAUAUUAAAAACGCUUAAAAUUUAUAAUUUAAAAUUGGAUUUUUAGCUUUCCUAAGUUUUAGUUAUUAAAUAUUGCCGACUUUUAUUUUUAGAAUAUUUUUCACUACUAUAUCGUGAUUUUAAAAAUUAGUCUUUAUAAUUAUAAUAACAUGUUUCAUAUUUUUUAAAACAUAGUUUUAAAGUAGACUCAACUUAUGAAGAUGUGGCAAAUUUGAACUUNNNNNNNNNNNNNNNNNNNNNNNNNNNNNNNNNNNNNNNNNNNNNNNNNNNNNNNNNNNNNNNNNNNNNNNNNNNNNNNNNNNNNNNNNNNNNNNNNNNNNNNNNNNNNNNNNNNNNNNNNNNNNNNNNNNNNNNNNNNNNNNNNNNNNNNNNNNNNNNNNNNNNNNNNNNNNNNNNNNNNNNNNNNNNNNNNNNNNNNNNNNNNNNNNNNNNNNNNNNNNNNNNNNNNNNNNNNNNNNNNNNNNNNNNNNNNNNNNNNNNNNNNNNNNNNNNNNNNNNNNNNNNNNNNNNNNNNNNNNNNNNNNNNNNNNNNNNNNNNNNNNNNNNNNNNNNNNNNNNNNNNNNNNNNNNNNNNNNNNNNNNNNNNNNNNNNNNNNNNNNNNNNNNNNNNNNNNNNNNNNNNNNNNNNNNNNNNNNNNNNNNNNNNNNNNNNNNNNNNNNNNNNNNNNNNNNNNNNNNNNNNNNNNNNNNNNNNNNNNNNNNNNNNNNNNNNNNNNNNNNNNNNNNNNNNNNNNNNNNNNNNNNGUUAUAAUAUUUAAUCCAAUAAUUAGAAAUGAUAAAAGGAGUUGAUCCAAAAAUUAAAAACUUGGUAGAAAAAAAAAUCUUUUGCUAUUAAUAGUAUUCUAACCCAACUCUAUAUAUAUAUAUAAUAUUUUAAUUAUAUAUAGGCUGAGUGAAUAACCUGAGUCUAGUUAAAAUUGGGCCAAUGUUGUUGGCCCAUAAAAACAAACCUAAUAAACAAAUAUAAAAGCAAAAUUUCACUAAAUUUAUACAUUUUUCCUUUCUUUUUUUCUUUCACAGAGCUCUAAAUUUUUAAUAUGUUUCUCUCAUUCUCUUUUUCUGUCUUUCACCGUCAAUGGCCAGGCCGGAAGCCCUCAAAGUUACCAGCAUAUGCCCGCCGUUGCCUACCUUGCUAUUAAUUGUAUGCUUGAGAAAAUAUACAGAAUAUUUUUAAAGUAAAAAAUUAUUAUUUAUAUAAGAUUUUAAUUUAGUUAUAUAUGAUUGGAUAGUUUAAUCCAAUAUUUAUCUAUAUAAUUUAUUUAUUUUUGACAGUAUAAAUAAAAAUGAAUAAUAUGAAGAUUGAAGGCGAAAGAGAAGCAAUGUCAGGCUGAAAAGAUUAGACAUUCAACUCAUAAAUUAUUUUUUUUUAUAUUAUAAUACUAUAUUUCAUAUAAUUAUUUUGUACUUUGAACUAUUAGACAUAUUUUUGUAUCAAAUUAUAGAUUAUAUCUAUACAAAUUAACUAUUUGAUCGUAUAAUGUCGAGAUUUCAAGCUGGUUCGCUUAGGGCCUCGAGCUCGCUCAGACUCGAAUUCAGGCUUGCUCGAGCUCGGCUCGAAAUUAAAUUUUCAUCCAAGCUUGAGCUUAUAAUUUAGGCUCGAACUAAUUUUCAAGCCGAUUGAGCCGAGGUAAGGCUCAUUCGAGUUCGGCUCUCGUUUCACCCUAGGUCUGGAUGGGCCUUUGCCUACUUAGGAUGUCUGUUCUGCUCUGGUGGGUAGCUCUGUCUGAGAGGCGAUGGGUAUCAUAGGUAUCUGAGAGGCCCCCCCCCCUUUCUAAAAGCCAGAGCUGAGCAUUGAAAAAGUUGGAGGACGUGUAUUACAUGGGAUAAACAUUUGGUUGGGCAUCCGACCACAGACAACUUAUUAGGGGCGGAGCCGAUGGGUCCGGUAUUAAUAUGAUAAAAUUUCUGAGCUGUGCGCACCCAUCGCGACCCUCGGAAACGUGCAGAAAGAGAAAAAAAAAAUUUUGUGCGGGCUCCGAUUUUUGUAGAGAGAGAGAAAUGAGAAAGAAGCCGGCUGGUGAAAAAGGGGUGGUGUGGUGCAUGGGCGUCGUACACAUGCGGUGCCCAUCGGCUCCGUCCCAAACAAGUUGUUUGGGUGCCCACUAAAUUUUUAUCCUAUUUACAUGUGUAGGGAAUUCGCAUUCAUGGCUCAGGUAGGGGGUGGCAAUCCCAGUCGCUGUUCCGCGAGCCAGCUCGUGUUCGGCUCGAAAUGAGUGCCGAGAUCGGCUCGCUCGUUUAGUAAACGAGCCGAACACGAGCUGGAUUUUUCAGCUCGUUUAAUAAACGAGCCGAACACGAGCUGGGUCAGCCUGCAUGUGUUCGGCUCGAUAACAGCUCGAUUAUAUUUAUUUUAUAUUAUAUAAUUUUAUUUAAUUAUAUAUAUAUAAUUAUAUGUGUUUAUAAAUAGUAUAAUACAUAUUAUUAUAUAUAUAUAUAUAUUUCAUUUCAAUUGAUUAAUCCCUGUUUACAUUAUACUUGGUAUUUAUACUAUUGGUGUGAUUUUACUGAAGUGUAAACAACUCAAUCUAUGAGGUUAUACAGCAAAAUGACGAAUUGAGGAAAAAACUCGUAUAGGCUGCCACUGAUGCUAGCUGGGGCCCCGCUGGGCUUGGCGUCUUGUCUUCCUUAAGUAAUCCCGCUAUCGGUUAAAUGGGUACCGGGUUGGCUUAUCCGGCACGAUCCUCACAGGAGUGGGUAGUGGGCUCGUGUUUCUCACCGACUCAGAUGGUUCGACGGCCCGUCCGCCACGGCUGAAGUAUUACUACUUCGCCCCCAAGCCAUAGAUUCUGUCGGAUCUCUCUUGGUCUCGCAUCUUUCUUGCUUCCAGGAUGCCCUAAUCGACCUUGGUCCUCCUCUAGCAGCCGUCCGCCCGCUUGCGAGGGCACCUCCGACGGCUCGACCUGCACGACGACUCCUCCUUCAUCCCGAGCUGCUGCCAUUUUUUCUCUCCAUUUUAACUAGUAAAGUUGCUAUUUUUUUUUGCUAACUUCCUCUGUUAACUACUAUUCUACAUUAUUCUUCAGGGUAGUUACACUUCGACGGCGACACUUGGCGGCAGGACAUUCGGCGACAGUGUGAAGCAGCGACUUUGCGGCCAGCGAACUCAGGUAGCAUUAUAUAUUGAGCUAACAAGCCGAACACGAGCCGGCUCGAUUAAGUUUCAGCCGUCACGAUAUGUCCAAAGGUUUUCGAGCUCGUCACGAGCUCGAGCCGAACAGAUGCGGCCUAGAAGACUGCGAGCCGAUCUCGAGCUGGCUCCAGCUCGCUCGAGUUCGGCUCGUUUACAGCCCUAGCUCCAGGCAAACAACAAAACUUUUGGAUCUGGUCGAGGGGACUAGUACUAUACUAUAUUGAGAGAUCGUUAAUUGCAUUUGUUUAUCAUAUCACAGAAUAUUACUGUACAUAGUUAUAUAAAUUUCAUAUCAAAUCUAUUUCACUAGUAGAAAGAAAAAUAUUGAUAAGACCAGUGAAAAAAUAAAGGUCAGUCAGACAAUUCCAGGAAUAGAAAAUUAAAAAUAUAAAAAUAGAGAGUAAGAAAUUAAUUAGAGGAGAUGAAUGAACGAUUGAUUGUACGGUCAAAAUCAUACAAUUCAGGAAUAGAAAAUUAAAAAUAUAAAAAUAUGGAGUAAGAAAUUAAUUAGAGAAGAAGAUUAAAUGAUUGAUUGUACGGUCAUUACAUCAUACAUAGUGCAUUGACUUUACUCUGACAAGCACAAGUCAAACCUAAACUUAUUAAAACCCUUCUUACAAUUUUAAUAAACAAUAAAAGUAUUUAUAAAAUAAAAAAAUUUUCAAUACAUAGUUAAGCUCAAAAUAAUAAAAUUUAGAAUAAACUUUAAAAAUCAUUUCUAUGAUUUCGCACUUUCUCACUUUAAUACUCUAUAGUUUAAAAUAUAUUAAGUUGGUGUCCUGUUGUUGUAUUUUUAUCUUUAUGUCAACUUCUUCGUUAAUAUUUUGUUAAAUUAUAUACAAAAAAAACUUCAAAUAAUACACCUAGGUUUAUCAAAUAUUCACUUUAGUACCCUUUAAUAUUAACCUUGUCAUUGAUUUAAUAAAAAAAAUUAGUGAAAUCGAUAAUAAAAAGAUAAAAAUAAAAUCACAGGAUACUAAAUUGAUAUAUUUUAAAUCAUAGAGUACUAAAGUGAAAAAAUGUGAAAUCACAGGAAUGAUAGUUAAAGUUUUUUCUAAAAUUUAUCCUUAUUAACAAA
RNAcentral lists this long non-coding RNA (83669 nucleotides) under Ananas comosus (pineapple). RNAcentral describes it as "long non-coding RNA (ACOM_LNC017239)". The record is from RNAcentral. Lineage: Eukaryota; Viridiplantae; Streptophyta; Magnoliopsida; Poales; Bromeliaceae.